ACAGUGGCAGGUAUGUGAUGCCGAGCACCAUCUCAGACGGGAGGUCCUCCAGGCAGAUCGGGGACGCACCUCUCCUGAGGACCCUCAUGACAUUCACGAAGUGCAUUUCGCCGGUGGUCACCCCUUCAGCAAACGCACUCUGGGACCAGUGUUCUUUCAGGAAGGCAACCAGGUCUGGCGGCUCACCGUUGGUGCCCCCGGUCGCAAUGAUGUCUGCAGCCUCGUAUGUUGCAGCUGCAUCUCUUAGGAAGUUGGACCUCAAAAGGAAGGUGACACCAUCAAGCGACCUGCUGCCCUGGCCCCUCGCAGCUUUGAGGAUCUGAGUGCUGAGAGCUUCAAGAAUUUGCUGGGGGAUAUGUGCAAGCAAAUACGAGGCCACCAUGAAAUGGCCACUGGAGGCAGCAGUUGUCAGGGCAAGGCACAUCUCAAUUUCAGAGAUGCCUCGACUGACAAACCAGUGGACAACCUGCAAGCACCCACGCUCUGCAGCUUUUAUCAGAGGGCUGAGGAAAGAAUUCACGUUCCCUUCAUCAACUAGGCAUUCCAUUGUGUUGAACUUGCAGUAAUGAGAGGCAUAUACUAGAGCCAGCUCGGUGUCCACAGCCAAGCUAUUCUGAUAUGCAACCUGCAUAAAGAGGGCAAAUGUUACUGUUGCAUUGUCAUGCUGUUCUUUGUGAAAUGUACUUUUCAAAGAUAUUUAAGGGAUCAAUACAGUUGAAAUUCCUAGGAUAACACGACAGAUUUUGACCAAUUAUUUACAUCUAAACUGGAAAAAAAACCACUAUGCACACGACCAAAGGUGUCUCUGCACCCAGUCAACUCAUAAGUCUCCUAUCUAGGAAGCAGGGGUGAAAGCUUAGUGGAGGCGAAACUGGGUUCUCCCCCUACCCCCACUGCCUUGCUCCGUGCACUGACCUCAGUACCGGCAGUUGUUAGAUGCUGCUGUCGCUGGUCAGAGAAGAUGAACGGGCAUCCAAAUAGUCCACCAGCCCAAGCAUUGAAGGGGGUAUAUAACGAAAGGGCCAAGUGGGCUUUGUAUCUUAUUCCUUUGCCAACAAGUGUACCUAUGGUGGCCCAGAAACAAGCAGUCCGAUGGCCAGGAAGCCUGCCAUUGCUUUCUGUUAUUCUGUAGCAGUAGCAACAAGAAUCCCCCACGGCCCCACCACCACCAUCACCAUCACCCCCACUACUGAUUUGGUGCUGCACUCCGCCACUGCUAGGAAGGAUAGGCUGGUUCAGUCGAGGAGAAUAUUUUCUAUCAUCAUAGCCCAACCAUGCCAUCCAUGAAUAGGCUCCUUAAGAUCCCAUAGAGUAUAAAUGGAAUAAUUCAUGUAAUACGAUUCUAUUUUUGUUAGAGGUAACCUUAAUCAGUCCUGCCCAUAAAGCACAAAAGCUUCUAACAAUUGUCUACAUCUGUGGAGAAAGUUAUGUUCUGGCAAAUGACCACCAUCUUGUAUGGCAUGGCCAAUUCAUUUUUAGUUUUGCACAUGGCCAUGCAAAUGUCAUAAUUUUGCAGUGGCCUAUAGGCUAUAGCAAACUCAACACACCCUCCCUUUUUGUAAUUCUUUAGUACCAAUAUUUUUGGAAUUUGGAUAAUAAAACAUUAGGGGUGAUCUAUAUCUUGACGAACACUGUACCAAUAUUGUUUUUAUGUGGUCGCAUUGGUGUAAGUAGAAACAUAUUCGAAUAAAGAAAUAUUUAGAUUUUUCUUGCAUACAACUUUAAUUUUUUAAUUUGUCAAUAAAACUUGUAGAUUCCUUUUCAGGCCAAAAUUGAGAAAGCAAAAUCGCAAACUACACUUCAGCAUCAACAUUUUUUGUGGCCAACGUUUCCUAUUUUAAGGAUAUAGUCUCAAGUCUAGAUACAUAGUUCAAGCUAAAGACUCAAAAGAGGAAGACGAUAACGAAAUAAUGAGAAAAGAUAGUUACACUAUCAUGAAUACGGUUACUUCUGUGAAGAAGAGCAGUAUUUCAGGCCAAAUUUAGAAUAACUGACAACAGCUAAAAUGUUCAUAAAAAAUCUACUUCAGUAACAACAUUUUAGUUUAACAUGCACAUAGGCCCAAUCCAUUCCUUGGGAAAGCACAAAAUCACCUCAGCUAGUUUAUAAGUACUUUAAAGGCAUGCUCUAAAUUCUAGAAUGUAAAAAGUUAGUUAAAAGCCCAAGUGCUCAAAGAGGAAGACAACAUGCAAAUGUUAGUUACUUAUUACUAAUAGCAUAGUCAGCAAAGGCAUAUUGAGCUUCUUAAGGAGUGGGAAUUAACUGAAAGAUAACAGUGGAACAGGGUAAUCCAAAAGUUUGAAGUUAUUGUGUGUUUAGUUAGAUGAUCCUACCGAAUCCCAAAAAACCUAACCGAAGGGCAUGCAGAAUUUUGACCAUCAGAUUAGUUGCCAGUUGCCCUAACUUAACUAUACUUUGGGAACCCGUUGUGUUGAACUAUACUUUGGGAAGAAAAUGAACUUCCAAUGACUAUGUGUUGAUUGAAUGUAAAAUUAUGGAUGCAAACCAAAUAUGUGCCAAAGUACAGUCCAAAGUUUGGAGGACCCCACAUGUAUGACAUAGAGUUGCAAUAGAAAACUUUCAUUAGAAAAGUGUGUAUUCUACACAACAGAGUGCAAAUCAAUGUUAGUAUCAUCCAGUAAUUAUAUUUGGCAUAAACAAAGAGUUUGGUGGCAACAAGCAUCAGAAAGGACUAUAGGUUAAACUAUCCUCUUAAAAUGCAACUGAUUCCAGAAUUUAUGGCUCGGGUAGCAUUGCCCACAACUGUAUGUCCAUUUAAAACAUUGCAUCUUACUAUAUGGCUUGCCAAAAUUUGCCUCUCUAGUAAUAGAAGAUAAGAAAAACUAAGAAAACAACCUAGAGCUCUGGGUAUAAUACUUUGGUUACGACUCCAUAAUAAAGAAAAGCAAAACAUGCUCAUUUGGUCAUUUAGUAUUUGAUUAAACAGAAUUGUUAACUUUGACAUCAAGAUUAAUGAGAACAACUAAAAUUACCUCCAGCAGAAUGCGUACAAGUUCAGUACUUCCAAAGCGUGCUGCUUCAAGGAAACACUGAUUUACAUUGUCAGCGCCUCCUUCCACCAGCAAUGAUAAAAGGCCCUUAAUGGAGACUGCUGAACUCCCAGAAGACCAUCCAGGUUCAAAUAAACUUGAGAAGAGUGUAAGGGGGAAGCAGACCGCAUCAAAUGCCUCAGUGAAAAUCUUGCCACUUAAGUUGUCACCAGCUAUGUCCAAGAAGGUUCUAAAUGCUGAUAAAUGAAGCUGUACCUCUUGGAGAGUAUUGCAGCUCCAUCUGCACCUAUGUGUGUCCUCAGAACAAUGGUGCAUAUGAAUACACUGUAAAGCCCAUUCCAUAAACUUCUGCACCUUGGCGCCUGCCUCUAUUUUUAGAUGCUCCGCACCAGGACAAUCUCGCAGACGUUCAUGCAAUCUAAAUUUCAACACCAAGAGAAAUAACAUCACUGAUAAUGUAUUAAGCAAUAUAUUCUGAAUAAAAACAUUUAGGUGUGCCAAACAUUUAUAUGUAAGCUGAGAGUCACCUCUCUGCGACGAUCUCCUUGCUAUCACCCACAGUGAUAGCCUUGCUUUGGCAGGCUGCAACACAUGAUGCAAGCAGUGAUGUCCUGAGGAUUGCUCUGGCAAAAUCCUUUGCCCCUGAGGCCACAAUCUUCACUAUCAGACUGUUGAGCCCCUCAAGAUCCCGUUUUGUCCGCAAGAACCAUAUGGCAUCAAGGGCAAUCGACAGGCCAUAAUCCAGCAUCGACUGCUGAUCUGCUAGAUCAACAAGACUUUCAGCAAGGCUCCACUGCCGCGAGAAGAGCACCAGCUGCAGUGAGUGCCCGAAGUCCACCCACCCAUGCUCGUCUAGACCCUGGCUUUGCACGCAACCAUCCGAUUCCUGUGUUUCGUCGUCCCCAUGACUAUGGCUGACGCCGCAUCCUUGGUCGUUCUUAGGCGCCAGCGCUGAUUCCCUUGCGAACACCACCCCACUAGCCUGGCCGAUCUCGUCAGCCUCUACCUCCACGAACGGCGAUUUCUUCGCCUUCGCCCGGAUGCUUCGUGGUUUGCCUUGCUCAAACAUUUGAUGCAAGAAAGGUCCAGGCUGUAAUCCAAUCUCACACCAUUCUGCUCCCUGCUAAAAUAAUCCGGCAACUCCUGAUCAUACACAGCCGAAGAACCCUAAAUCAAGAACAAUACCGCGCCGUUGCCACCAAAACUGUGCCGAUCUGCAAACUCGAAGAGUAGAAAUAGCUAGGCAUUAAUCACAAGCAGGGAUUUGAGAGGAACAGGACAGGAUGACUACGAAACAACUUUUGAGGGGCAGAGAGAUCGAACCUGAAACUUGCAAGAUCGAAGACCAUGCGGGUAGGGGGGGAAAUAUGAAGGAGAAGGGGGAAUCAAACAUGCAAGCAAAAGUGGAAGGAGAUGGGGACAGUAUCUUUAUUUUUCCCCGCGGUGAUUUUGAUGGGGGAGAGAAUAAUAAAGUUCACGGCUGUUGUUGGAAGCAGGGAGGCCGAGAAAUUUCUUCUAAUAUGCAAAAGUCUUCGCUUUGUGUCCAAUAAUAACUAAAAAAAAAGGAUAUCCUAGCUUAGAUCAACUUCAAUGAGCUUCCUUUAUCAUUUUUAAUCGUUAGAAAUAGAGAUUUUAAUUAACAAAAACUCUCCAACAAUUUAUCUUGAUACAUAUUUCUCGCUAGCUAAACAUAAAUAACGAGGUUAACUCUUUAGUGCGAAAAAUAUAGAAAAAUAGUUUUUAUUCAAAGAACACUCCAAAUAAUACUUUAGAUUAGAGAAUGAGUUUUACAUGAACUCAUGGUGAUGCUCUUCAGUCUUGUAAUUUCGUAGGUUUGGUAUAAGACUGUCUUUACGAAUUCAUGCAGAAGUGUUUUUUUUUUGUUCAUGUUCAUAUAGAUGUUCAAAUAAUUUGACAUUUCAAAAUAAUUUGUGUUCUGUAUUGUAAUACACAAAGUGGAUGAUCUGCGCUUGAAUGUUGUAAUGAUUUGUUUUCACGUGAUAUAAUUAGAGUAUGGCGAUUUCAGCUGUCAUGGUUAGGAGAAAUAUCAAAACUAAGUUUUUGAAUGCCAAUCCUCCUUUGAUGUAAUUUUGGUUUAAUUUGAUAAUGAUCUCUUUUAAUUUGUUAGAGCAUCUCCGGUGGUUUGCUAAAAAUCAUUUACCAAAUCUUAUGAUUUGGCAAGUAACUAAAACAUAUAGCAAGUGUAAAUUCUUAGGGUCCUUUUGGUUGGGCUUUUGAACCUGCUUUUGCUUUUGUAAAAGCCAAAAGCCAACCAAAGGGCCCAAAAGCCACAAGUGUUUUUCUCAAAAGCAGCUUUUCUCGUAGUACAAAUCCAAAAGCACCUCACCCCCUGCUUUCACUAACUUUUGGGAUCCGUUCAGUUUUUUUUUUCCAAAAGCCACAAGUGACCAACCAAAUGACUUUUGGGUUUCUCAAAGCCCACAUCCCACAGCAGCUUUUCAAAAGCUCAAAGCUCACAGUAGCUUUUCCAAAAGUCACAGCCCAACCAAACACACCCUUAGUAUCUCCAGUGGUUUGCUAUUUGGGCUUGGUAAAUUAAGAAAAGUAGGCCCACUUCAUCAACUAACUUUGAGUGGACUUCUCCCUGCCCUUCGGCCGUUGAAGUACACGCGAUCUUUCUCCCUGCCCUUCCAGAGCUUGAAGCUGCCGACCUCGACGUGCACGGGGACGUCGGCGCGGAACACGAGCGGCACGGCGCCCGUCCGCUGCGCGUCCUGCAAACCGGACACGACGGCGGUGGCCAGCUGCACCUCCCCGGCCAGCGCCAGCGGCAGCACCGUGGUGUUGCGGUGGCCCUGGUAGAACGCUGGCAGCGCGCCGCGCGCCAGGCGGUACGACCGGUACCACACCCCGAGGCUGGACCCGGGCUCGUACUGGAUGCCGAUCCGGGAGUUCGGGUUCACCGCCGUCACCGUCACGUCGAACCUCGCCCGCGCCGUCACCGUCGACGGGUCGACCUGGAACGCGGACACGGAGAGGCGGUCCACCGAGUACCGCGGCGCCUUGGGGUCGAGCGCUAGGUACAGCGCGCCGACGACCGCCGCGGCGAGCACCGCCAGCACGACCGCGGUGACCACCGCGCAGCAGAGGAGCCGGCAGCAGCAACCCCGGCCGCGCCGCUUCCUCGGCGGCGGCGGAGGUAGCGGCGCCGCUGGCGCGACGCGGCGCGGCGGCGGAGGCAGCGGGCACGCGUCGAGGUCGGCCGUCGAAGUACACGCGGGAACCGACGAUGAAAAUUCACUCGCGCGGGAGAGGAGGCCACGGCGUCCGGAUCUCGCGAUGGCAAGCGGAACGAGCCGCGCAAAUUUGCGCGUCGAUGGCUGCAGAAUGGCAAAUUGCAUUUUUUUGGCAAGUUGAUUAGCAAACCAUUGGAGGGGUCAUUUGUCUAGUUUUGCCAAAUUAUACAAGAUAACAAGUGUGUUUAGCAAACCACUGGAGAUGCUCUUAGAGGCUCUAUAAUUAUAUAGUUUUAUACACCUCAUUUUAGAAACUUUUAUGGUUUAUGUUUAUUAUAUGAAUGAUCACUUGAUUUAAUUUUGGAGCGGUCAACAAUUCUACGCAUUUUAUCAUUUAAUUGAUAUCAUGUAUGUUUGAGUUAAUUUGUGCAUCUUUUUUUGUUGUAUGUGUGAUAUAAUUUAUGCACCUUAUUUAUGUGGAAGUGGCUUCCUGUUCCUAUAUGUAAGACUAUUUUACUAUUAUUGAUUGAUGCGUGCAAAUAUAGAUAAACUAAUACUUUCAUGUCUGAAAUGUGCACAUAUUUUGUGCAUUUGCCAUGUAACCUAAAACCAUGCAAAAGAAGGUAAAAUAAUGCUCAAAAGGAAACACAUACAAACUGAACAUCCGUGGAACAUGUAAUGAAACACUGAACUCUGUAUAUGCUUAAGGUAAAUUUCACGUCCAAAGCCAAAAUGAUCCUUUUGGUCCCCUGCCUAACAGGCUAACACCGAGGGAAAGGCCACCAAAAGGAUGAAAGAUAGAUUUAGGGUAAAGUAGGUAAGUUUAAAACUAUCAAAGGCCAUGAAAGGAAGGCUUAGUUUUAAGAUCCAUAUAGGGAAUCUUAUCUUAUCUUAUACUUUUAUAAAGCAAAAUCUCACUACUUAUUUCUCAGCACACAAGUUGUCUAACUAGAUAGUUCACUAUCACACACAAUUAAAAUACAUUAGCCCAUGUAAUUGUAAUGUCCACGUCAGCAAGUCAUCAUUUCUCAGAACAUACAAGCUAUCUAACUAGACAAUCCAAUAUCACACACAAUUAAAAUCUACUAGCUCAUGUAAUUGUAAUAUCCAUAUUAGUAAGACACAUAACUAUUUUGUUGUCAAAAUCAUCAUACGACGCAAAUCCACUAAUCUAUAAUCCCCACAACAACACACGUAGUAUUCUUCUCGUUUUAUCUAUAUUAAAUCUAACCUCACUUACAAUCAAGCUUAAUUCACAUAACUUUACUCCUAAAAUCCAUUAUACAAGCUCCACACUAAACUUAAUUAGGGUAUUACUCCACCUUGGAGGCCUAAACCAACACAAACCCGUGUGAGUACAGCCUGUGACAUACUGUCAAUCAGCAAACAGUACUUCUAUGGCUUAUCAGCCAAGUGAACAGAGAUACAUAAUCGAUUUUUGAUAGUUAACAUCAGAAUAAAAAGCAUUACUCAAUACCACUAAAAUGAGUAAAGAACAUUGGCUAAAGUCAUGGUAUUCUUAGGAUGCAACUAAAAAAUUACAUAUGACGACAUUAAGAAAUAAAUCAUAAUAAUGCUUGUAAAUAUUUAUACACUGUGCACUGGCAUGUACAUUCAUAUAUUCACUUAGAUCAACCUUAUGGUUUCUUGUUCCGUUGUUGAUUCUCUUUGUCGACGUUUUAUUUUAUCAAAAAAGUCAUAUAGUAUAGGAUAUUUAAAGUUUUAAUUUAUAAACAUUUAUUUUAAUGAUAUAUUGUCACCGGCUAUGUUAGGCAAUAUUAUAUAGCAGCUCAACGAUACAGUACACGACACAUAUGUAUCAUUCUUCUUGUCGAGGGUAUCAGGGGUACCCAAGCUGACAUACAUAACGGGAUUGCCCAUACACAAUUCGAGGCCUCCUACUCGACGCUGUGCCCAGUCACGUGUACUGUCAUCGACGACCGCAGCCUCGAAGACGGAAAGGGCGUCCAGCGAAUCGGUCAGGGCUCGAGCGCCGGCUACCGUCGAAUACGGAAACAGGCUCGAGCGAAUCGGAAGACGUCGAGCGCAAGGACGCCGCCCGCCGCCUGACGCGGGCACGGGAACUAGGGCAUUUAAUACGCCUGUCGCGAUCUCACCUAACACGCCAGUCACGGAAAGCGUGAUAGGGAACAAGCACCCGUCCCGUCAUUCUUUUUGCAGCCUUCCUUACCAAAUAACCCAGAACGUGUCAGGAUGCAGGAAGCAUGGUCGGAACGUCUAAUCAAGACCCCCUCGAGACGUCCAAGGUCAGCGCUUGGGCCACAAGGCGUUGCACGGCCACCAACCCUCGACCAGACACAUUUCCUUCCUGGGGAAGGGUUGGGCGUCGAAUGACGACACCACAGCCGCUCCGACGUAUCCGCCGCCGUGACGUGCCGGCGUGCAGCAGACAAACCUGCCCAAGGCGGCGUACAGAGCAGAAUACAGGGGCACGCGUAAUCAUCAUCAAGCUACCAGGACGGGACGGCUCGAAACCACGCCGGUACGGAGGCCUCGAGUAGGGCAGCGCGCCAUGCCCCUAUCGACCUCUACUCCAAACGCCUACACAUGUACCCUAGGCCCCUCCUUGGAACUAUAAAAGGGGAGGCCUGGGAGCGAUCACACAACAACACAACACUCAAGCCACACAUAGUAGAGCUUCCAUACUCCAUCUCCCUCCAUACCACGCUUGUAUUCACCCCUGUACAAGCACUUAGGUGCAAAAUAAUACAAACUCUCCCCCUCCCGCUGGACGUAGGGCCUUCUCUUGCCCGAACCAGGAUAAAUCUUUGUGUCUUUUUGCAUCACCAUCUGGAAAGGGGAGCACGCAUACAAAUUCACUAGUUGGUGUGACCCCCCGGGGGAAAACACCGACAGUUGGCGCGCCAGGUAGGGGUCCUGCGUAUUUUUCACUGAUUUCCCAUUCCUUUCCAGAUGGCCACUCUCACUUCGCCGAUUCCGCGCUCCACGGUGAUUUGGUUUGGGAGUCUCGAGUUCAUGUCUACUGGCUCCGGCUAUGACAUGAUCUUGCUCUCGAUCAAAGGACCGGGAGGAGCCCGCGUUGCGUCAGCACGGUCGAGGGCCCCGAGACGCCCUCGCCAUCACGCCUCCCCACCCAAGAGGAGGCGUGGACACCACCACCGUCGCCUUUCUGCCUCGUCACGACCGACAGUUUGUGCCAGGCAGGAGGAGACACGGGAGUCGACAGCACCGCACACCGGAACCGUGGGCAUGACGGCUCAGCACCGCGAGGAUCACGCGACGACAGGAGGUGACGCGCCCCGUGCGCUCUCCCCCACCGCCAGGCUACUGCCACAUGGGCUGUUCGCUCCAAGAAGAGCGUUGCCGUUCAGUUUGGACAAUGCCGUGGCAUCGCUCGCCAGGGCAAUAUGUCCAAACGCCUAGACGUACGUGGAGAGACCAAUGGUCCUCCCGCGCGCCCCUGGAGCACAACGACUGACGUCCGAGCUGCCGGAUUUCUCCCAGGUGCGAGGUCUCUGCCGCCUAGGCCCUGGGCGAUACACGAUUACCUCUCUCAGGCAGCGGCUGCUGGAGGAAGGACGCGGAUGCUUCUACGCCGCCGAACCAGACUCCGGCUCGAAAUCUGACAGCUACGACCCUACUAGAGAGUGCUUUCAUAUCAACGGGGCAGUGGAGACCACCGAUGAGACACAGGACGCUGUUGCUGGCGGUCGAGCCCCUGCAGCAAGGGAAGACCCCAGGACGCCUGGGAACGACGGACAGGUCGACCCACCUCCACAGGAAGACAGAGCCGCACAACUUGCGCAGCUACGAGAGCUCAAGACAAAACUUGACGAAGAUCGUGAGUGCCUCGUCCUGCUCGAACAGAUCCUUGAGCAGGACCUGCCUUACCCACCUGGCGAAAGUGUCCGCAGAAGGGCUCGAGAGGUGCAUCGACAGAUCGUUGGGGACGGGGAGCGAGAACAACCUGUCAGCCGCUUCCCUUGAGCAGGCCAGAAUGUUGUGGCAGCAACGAUGCUGUUGCGCAACAUGCCCGAGCCCUCGAACUCCCAAGCACGGCGCAUCCGAGACGAGGUGCAGACUCUGCUCCAGGUGGCGGCGGUUCAGCAAGCAGAGAGCUCGGCCUCCCAACGUCGAGGGGCAGCUACUGAAAAGCGUGACGAGCCAGCCCAAAACGAAAGGAGGUGUCGGUCCAUCAGCAGCCACCUCCUUGAGGGAAAAAGACCGCACUCGUCCUCCCCGUCGACAACCAACGUCGACACGACGCGCGACGCGACAUCGACGAGAAUUGACGCCGUCGGUAUGGGGACGCAGAGGAGCGCGGUUACAGCGCCCAUCGCGGUGGAAGGUACGACAGCGAUGAGGACCGGAUGGCCCCGGAGCCGCCAGGCCCGCGGGUGUUCAGCAGGGCAAUCCGCAGCACGCCGCUGCCCAGCCCAUUCCGACCCCCGACCAGCAUCGCAAAGUACAACGGCGAGACCAAGCCGGAGCUGUGGCUGGCAGAUUUCAGGCUGGCCUGUUAGCUAGGAGGCGCUCGGGGGGACGAUCGAGCCAUCAUCAGACAGCUGCCGCUCUUCCUCUCUGACACCACCCGCAGAUGGCUCGAGGAGCUCCCGACCAACCAGAUCCACGAUUGGGUCGAUUUGGUCAGGGUGUUUGAGGGGAAUUUCAAAGGAACCUACAUACGACCCGACAACUCGUGGGAUCUCAGCAAGUGCAAGCAGAAGUCAGGAGAGACGCUUCGAGAGUACGCUCGACGCUUCUCGAAGCAACGCACCGAGCUGCCGCACAUCCCCGACCACAACGUCAUCCUGACCUUUGUCUCUGGUACCACCAGUCGAGACUUGAUGCGGGAAUUAGGCCGGAAUCGUCCUCAGACCGUCGACGAGCUGAUGGACGUAGUGGCAAACUACGCUGCUGGGGAAGAAGUGGUGGGCGCCUUCUUCAGCUGUGAAGGAAGGAGGGGCAAGCAGCCCGCCGAUGACGACGAGGGUCCCAGUAGAGGACCCAAGAAGAACAAGAAGAAGAAGAAAACACGGCCGUUCUAGCGGGAAGACCUUGACGACGAACUCGUCGCCGCCAUGGAACGCAAGAGGCCUCGAGGCCCUCCAGAGGGGGGCAUUUUCGAUAAGAUGCUAAAGGAGCCAUGCCCUUACCACAAGGGAGGGGCAAACCACAAGCUCGAGGACUACCGUAUGCUGAAAAAGCAUUUCGAUGGUCUAGGGUUCAAGAAGGACGCCCGCGACGACCCAAAGAAAGAGAAGAGCGGCGACGAAGGGGACGACAAAGACGAUGACGGUUUCCCAGCCGUUCACGACUGCUACAUGAUCUAUGGUGGACCUUCGACGCAGUUAACCGCGAGGCAACGCAAAAGGGAACGCCGUGAGGUCUUCGCGGCAAGAAUGGCGGUGCCCCAGUACCUCAGCUGGUCGAGCACCCCCAUCACCUUCGAUCGAGAGGACCACCCCGACAAGGUAGUUGCCCCUGGCGUCUACCCGCUCGUCGUUGUUGGUAUUUGGGAACGCAAUUAGGAAUUGAUUCGCAAGCGCACGGAUAUCGGUGAGCACUUCACUCGGGAGGUUAUCCAGAGUAUCGUAUUUAUUUUUUUACCACUAGGAGAAAGAGUGCAUCUGACUAACCGGUCUAUUACUACUAACCCUUUAGGCAACAAAGAAUGUCUCUCGAUGUGAGUGAUAAAUAGAGAAGACUACAACCGUAAUCUCCUUCUAACCUUGGUAAGGAUGAUCUACUGUUCAAUUGGGGAGGCUAACGGAAUCUAGACACCACAAAGGAUGUUCAACCCGCACCUAUAAACCCUAUCCUUCCUGCUAACGAGAUAUGGUCUGCAAAGGUAACUCAGAAAUGUCACGUUCUUCACUACUACCACGGUCUAGUUAGUCAGGGAAUAUCUAUAAGUACCCCAGCCUAAACACCACGUUUACGCCAGCAAUGAUUACUCUAAACUCUACGCGAAGAGAUUAAAGUAAACUCAUAAACCAAAAGAACAAUAAAACAAGAACUUACUAGAAUUUAGAAGUCGAAAUACUGAAGAAUCCUAGGAGCAACCUUCGGGUUAGGAGAACUUGAUCCCGCAGGUACAAGCUUGGAGUAGACACCGACAGGCCGGGCUUCCUCCAAUCUACACCUCCACUCUGUCUCUCUCAAUCUAGUAGAAACUAGAAGAUCUAUUUCUACUUUACAUUGGUUGCUAAGCCUAAAAAGAAAUAUUAUUUAGAGAAGAGGUUUUCCUUCGAGGGCACCCCUCAAUCUCUAUGAUAACUUCUUGUCUCCUCCAGGGGCCAGGGGGGUCUCCUUAUAUAGUCCUCCUCUAUGCAUUUUUGGGUUGGUAGGCGUUGUGGUACUACGUUAUCCUUGAUCCAUUAGGUCGGUGGAACAUCGUGUGCGAAGAGAGUCCCAAACGGAGUACAGGAGGGGGCGGGUGCCCUGGGCCUGGCCCCUUUCGGCCUCUACUUUCUUCCUGUGGCAUAUGGAGUCUUCUAGAUGGUAGAAAAUUGCGCGGUGCGUUGAUAUCUCUAUGUAAUACCGACAUGUGGGCCUUUCUUCCUUAUUUCCUGAUAACCCCCUGCAGAAACAGAUAAACAACAAAACUCAUGGAAUUCUGUCAGAUCAAACCCUAAUUCUAGGUGUUGGUUGCAUAUUGGUCCUUUCUCUUAUUUAUUUGAUAAUUAAAAUUGAUACUUAAGAACCGUCAACAAAUACCCCCAUACUUAGGCUUUUACUCGUCCUCGAGAAAAGGAUGGUUAAGAACAAUAUUUGGGGUAAAACAUUUUAAAACAUUCUUUUCAUAACUGCAGGGUGUUAAAAUUCCACUGUGUACUAUAGUCAGGGAAGUAUAUAGUUAAGAGUAAAGAUCCUUUCUUCUCAAUCCUGUCACUUGGAGUUUUUGUAUAUUUUUGAAAAAAAGUUAGCAUACCUUUUUAUCCUCAUAGGUUCUCUCAGAUCACUCAUUAUCUUUUAUAUAUCUCACUGAGGUUGUUUUAAUUUGCAAAAAUUCUCAAGCAUACUUACUUUGUAUUUAUUGCCUGAUCAAAACAGGAUCCGAGGAGGGGAAUGUCAUACUCUUAGAUCAAAGACUUUGGAAAUUAAAAUCUUUGUCAACUCUUGCUGGCAUAUUGCUUAUUAGAGGGACCAUGGGCUAUCAUUUUCUUUUUCUCUCUCUUUUUUUUAAGUGGAUACCGAGGUACCCCUAAUUCUACUGCCGGACACUUGUCCAUUUUUUUCUGCGAGGUUGUCGAGCACUUGCUCCUUUUUAUUUCCUCGAAAUAUCUUUAUUUUUGCAUAGCCCAUGCCUCUAAUGCAAUAAUACUUCGGAAGAGUGAAUCUUUCUGAAUAAAUGUCUUGAUCUUAGGAGCAUGAUAAAUCUCUCAACAAGGGUCUAACUCAUUUUGAACAAACUCAAUACAGAGUAGAUAGCUUUUAUGAUUAUUUUUUUCAGUUUUAUCAGGCAUAUAAAACACUGAGGAUGGUAGCUAGAAUUAAUUUUGAAAUAAAUUCUCCAAGCAACAAUGAUAUCAAGAAUAAGAAACUCAUACUCUACCAUCUCUCAUUUCAUACUGUCUUAAGUAACACAGGGUUUUAAAAUGAUUUUAUAAUAGUUACAAGUUUUUGGUGACUAAGAUGCAUUGCCUCAAGGUCUAAUCUAGAUAACUUAGCGGCGCUCUAAUUCCUUAAUCUUCUUGUUGGUACUGGCAAGAUCAUGCCUAAGGCCUAGUAUAACAGUGUUGUGGUUAGAGAGCUGCCUAGUGAGAGAAUUAAUCGAGGACUGGAGGUCUAUGAUAACUCUGUCUAGUCUGCGAACGUCCUCAUCAAUAUCCAUUAUAGUUUUGCGACGCUUGGGAGGUGUCUCAAAAGCAUUGAGAGCAUGCUUCGGGGCUGCCUUUGGAAGCAUGAAACGGACUUUGGCUGCUCUAAUCCCUUCGAAGUAAGGCCUCUCCUCCUCCGUAGUGUAGCGAAUGCUGCUGAUCUCGCCGCUCCGGUUGGUCUUAACUCCAACGACCCUCUCAUUGGGUCUAGGUGGAAGGAUCCUUCUGCCGGUUGGCACCUUGAUGGUGGUCUUCGUCUUGGAUGAUGAUCCCUUGAGGAGUAGGGGUUGUGGUGGUGCGGUGAGAACUGGUUGAGCAUGGCAGGAUUGGGCGGAGCUGCGUUGGCAUAAUGGCAUGGCUUCUAGCUGUCGCUCUGUGUUGGCCGGGACAAGAGCACGAGCAUCGGGGUCUUCCACAGGCUCCAUGUUGAGGUUGAAGGGGACGACUUCCCAAUCAUCGUGGAACUUCUCGGCCAUUGGAGCAGCAAGGAACUAAUCAAGCUCUAAUUGAAGAAGAGGAGAAGGCUUGGUGGUUUGGUGUUUGAAAACUGAUGUCAGGGGUCUAUUUAUAUAGGGGUCAAAAAGUGCCUCUAGGGGUUGUUCGGGUUCCUCCCUGUCGAUGUGCGUGCGAAACUUUCCAUCUGAGGGAUUAUUCGAAUUACCAUAAGUGCAUUUUCCAUAACAGAGAAAAUCGGGACCGAGGAGGAACAGGAGCUGGGCGCCCGCCCACCUAAUCUGGGCGCCCGCCCUCUCUCUGGCCCCUCUGUGGGCCCACUUUCUCGAGCGCGUUUCUAGAUGCAAAACUAUUUAGAAAAAUAUAUAUAUGACCCAAAAACAUCAGACUAAAAAGGUCGGGCUCUAAUUCUCCAUGGGAAGGUAAAAAUGGACUACGUCUAUUUCUUCUAAUUCUUUAUUGGGCUCUAAAAAUAAUUUAAGGCAUUGACCAUUUACCUUGAAUAACGUACCUUCGUCAUUUUGAAGUGUGAUAGCUCCGUGGGAUGAUGAAUUAAUUACCUUGAAUGGUCCUUCCCAUUUGCUCCGGAGUUUCCCAUGCCCGAAAAGCUUCACCCUGGAAUUAAAAAGCAAUACCUUAUCUCCGGGUGUGAACUCCUUCUUCUUGAUUCUCUUGUCAUGCCACCUUUUGACUCUUUCUUUAUAGAUCUUCGAAUUGUGAUAUGCUUUCUCUCGCCAUUCUUCCAAUUCUGAUAGUUACAUUCUUCUAUGAUCUCCAGCAACAUCUAGGUCUAUAUUCCAUCUCUUUAUGGCCCAGUGUGCUUUGGACUCUAGUUCAACAGGUAGGUGGCAAGUCUUCCCGUACACCAGUUGGUAUGGAGACAUUCCAAUUGGGGUCUUGUAUGCUGUCCGGUAUGCCCAGAGUGCAUCGGGUAACUUGUCUUUCCACGCCGUUCCCAUUUCAUUUACUGUCUUCUGAAGAAUAUUCUUGAUUUGUUUGUUAGAAGUCUCUGCUUGGCCACUUGUGUGAGGAUGAUAGGGAGUAGCGACGUUGUGACGGAUUCCAUGUUUUGAUAGAUAUUGCUUGUAGCGUUUGUCGAUGAAGUGUGUUCCUCCAUCACUUAUCACUACUCUGGGGACUCCAAAUCUUGGAAAUAUAAUUUCUUCUAACAUCCUCUUUGAACUGAUGUUGUCGGCAUGCUUACAAGGUAAUGCCUCUACCCACUUGGAGACAUAGUCAACUGCCACCAAGAUGUACUCACACUUCUUUGAUGGAGGAAAUGGACCCAUGUAGUCUAUUCCCCAGACAUCAAAGAGCUCGAUCUGAAGGUUGUUGGUGAGUGGCAUUGCAUCCCUUGUAUUUAUGUUUCCGUGCCUUUGACAUGGCCCACAUCUUCUGAUAUAUUGCUUCGUGUCUUCAUACAUUAUAGGCCAGUAGAAUCCACACUGCCAGAUCUUUGAAUGUGUACAGAAUGCUCCAUAGUGACCUCCAUAUGGUGAUGAAUGACAUCUGCGAUGAUCUUCCAUCCUUCCUCAGUGGUCACACAUCUCCUGAGUAAGCCAUCAGAGCAUACUCGAAAGAGGUAUGGCUCAUCCCAUAUAUGUGAACGACUUUCUUGAAUAAGCUUCUUCUUGUUUGCUCCUGGUGGUACAUACCCUGAAACCAUAAAAUUAACAAUAUCUGCAUACCAGGGGUCAGACCUGUUAAUCCCGUAGAGCAUGUCGUCCCGGAGUGAAUCAUUGAUGGGAGUUUCCUGUGGAUUCUUAAAAUACAUUCUAGACAAGUGAUCAACAACAGAAUUUUCUACUCCCUUUUUAUCUUUUAUUUCUAAGUCAAAUUCUUGGAGUAAUAAGAUCCAUCUAAUCAAGCGAGGUUUAGCAUCUUUUUUAGUGAGCAAAUAUUUUAGUGCAGCAUGAUCAGUGUAAACAAUUAUUUUAGCUCCAACUAAAUAAGAUCUAAAUUUAUCAAUGGCAAAGACAACAACCAGAAGCUCUUUUUCAGUAGUUGCAUAAUUAAGUUGAGCUCCUGUCAAAGUUUUACUGGCAUAAGCAAUUGCAUGAUGCUUCUUAUUUUUAGUUUGUCCCAAAACUGCCCCCAGAGCAUAAUCACUAGCAUCACACAUAAUUUCAAAAGGCAACGACCAAUCAGGGGGUUGAAUGAAUGGUGCAGAGAUGAGUGCUUUCUUUAAUAAAUUGAAAGAUGUUAACAUGCAUCAUCAAAUUUAAAAGGAGCAUCCUUGGCUAGCAAAAGAGUAAGUGGUCUAGCAAUAAAUGAAAAAUCUUUUAUGAAUAUACGAUAGAAACCAGCAUGGCCAAGAAAGCUUCGAAUUCCUCUUAUGUCCACAGGUGGAGGUAGUUGUUCAAUUACUUCAAUUUUAGCUUUAUCUACCUCAAUACCUCUUUCAGACACUAAGUGUCCCAGCACUAUUCCUUCCCUAACCAUGAAAUGACAUUUUUCCCAAUUAAGGACUAAGUGCUUUUCUUCACACCUUUGCAAAACCUUGUCUAAGUUUUCAAGACAACUAUCAAAAGUUUUUCCAUAAACAGAGAAAUCAUCCAUAAAAACUUCCAUAAUCUCUUCAAUCAUAUCAGAAAAUAUAGACAUCAUGCAUCUUUGAAAAGAAGCUGGUGCAUUACAUAACCCAAAAGACAUUCUACGGUAAGCAUAAGUUCCAUAUGGGCAUGUAAAAGUGGAUUUGCUUUGAUCAUCAGGAUGGAUCGGGAUCUGAUGAUACCCUGAAUAUCCAUCUAAGAAACAGAAGAACGAAUGGUUUGCUAACCGCUCUAGCAUCUCAUCUAUGAAAGGUAAAGGAAAGUGAUCCUUUCUCGUGGCUUUGUUUAGUUUUUUAUGGUCUAUGCACAUCCGGCAUCCUGUGACGGUGCGUUGCGGAAUUAGCUCGUUCUUUUCAUUCAUAAUAACAGUCAUGCCUCCCUUUUUAGGCACAACUUGUACUGGGCUUACCCACUCACUGUGCGGCACAGGAUAUAUAAUCCCUGCAUGCAGCAACUUUAUAACUUCCUUUUUAACUACCUCUCUCAUAGUGUUGUUAAGUCUACAUUGGGGUUCUCGAGAAGGUGAAACAGAAGGAUCUGUUGGAAUAUGAUGGGUACAAAUCAUAGGACUGAUUCCUGUAAGAUCUUGGAGUGAGUAGCCGAAAACUGAGUGAUGUUUCUCAAGAAUGGUCAUUAAUCGCAAAGUUUGCUCCUGAGUGAGUUUAUCACUAAUGAUCACAGGAAACUCUGGAUUAUUGUUUAGGAAAGCAUAGAUAAGACCAGGUGGUAAAGUUUUAAGCUCUAUGUGGGGUCUAGGUGUUUCUGCAAACUCAUCUAAGGGUUCAGGUUCAGAGGGUUCGGCUUCUUCUUCUAUGAAGAAAGGAGUUUCGUCUUCUAAGUCUGAUUCUUCUAAAAGUUCAAGAGAUGCAGCCUUUACCUCCUCUAUAGGAUCAGGCAAAAGAUAUGACUCGACCUUAUUAUUUAAGGAGUGUGAAAUUGUUAUUGGGAAUUUAAAGGCUUUUCCAAAAGAAAUGUGUAGCUUUCCAGUAUGACCUUCAUAAAGGAGUCUUCUAAAAGGUUGUCCUAUCAACAAGUCGAAGUCCCAUGUAUCAAAGAUAUAGAAGUUCAAAUGAACCAUGGAGCCUUCUACCGUAAGAGGUAGGACAUUAAUAAUUCCAAGACUGGGGACUAAUCGUCCCGAAGAUUCCUUUAUGACCUUUGUUGUGGGGGUUAAGGCAAGAUUUUUAAAUAGUUUAAGUGCAAAAGAUUCAGACAUGAUGUUGAUCCCCACAACAGGAUUAUAAAGAGCAUUAAAUCGAUCAGAAUUAUAAGCACAGCGUAUAGUUAUAGAGGGUGUGUCUAAACGGAUCACAUCAGAGGAAAGCUCUGAUUCCUCCAACCAUUCGCUACUCAUGACUGAGAUAAGCUCUCUCAAUUGAUAUUCACUUGGCAAAUAAAUGCUAAACUGGCCAUUUUGGGGUUUGUCAAUAGAAUGGUAGUUUGAAAUGUUUCCAAAGUCGGCAAAAAGAUCGGAUUCUAUAUCCAGCAUGAAGUCCGGUGGUGGAAUUUCUUCCUCUUUUGGCUCAGAACUUGGGAUAGCUAAAGUAGAUGAAGAAUUUGGCAGAGUGUCUACUUCGGCUUCGUAGGUUUCAUCAUGAAGGGUAUUAUCCAUCUCAGCUUCUAGGAUUCUAUCUAGGAUCACUCUAGCUUCAUCAGUAGGGAUGCGAAAGAAAGAACCUCUAGACAUUGUGUGUAGCAUUUGUUUGUGAUUUUUCUUAAGACCUCGAAAAAAGUGAAGUAAAAGAACAGGGUCUUCAAGAUUAAGGUUUGGACCAGAUUCUAAAAGAUCAGAAAAACGUUUCCAGGAUUUUCCCAAAGUUUCAUUAUCUUUUUGUUUAAAAGAUAGGACUUCGAGUCUAAGGUCGGCUAUACGGUCGAGGGAAUAGAUAUCUAGACAAAAGUUGGCUCAUAAAACUCCCCAUUCACCUCGUUGUUGACUUACCUUCUGACUGUACCAUUGUCUAGCUUGUCCCCUUAAAGAAAAAGGAAAAAGCUUCCAACGUAAAGUUUUAUCAGAAAUGCCUUCAAUGCGAAGACAAUCACAUGUUUGCUCAAAAUCUCUAAUAUGAAGGUAAGGGUUUUCGUCUUCCUUUCCCGAAUAAGAUAGGUUUUGAAUCAUGGCAAUCAACCUAGAACUUAACUUAUACUGGGAUGUUUGGAUAGGCUGUGAUGACUCCCAUGGUAAAAGGUCAGUUACUGAAGGGAUUGCAGACUCAUGGAUCGAUUUAGAAUUUUGGUUUUCCAUAAGGUUAGAGUAAAGAAAAUAAAUAAAGAAUAUAAAAGAUAAAAAAAGAUAAAAGUAUUGAUACAAACUAGUAGUAAGACUCAAGGUUAUCUCAGCAAACCGUCUUUCUCCCCGGCAACGGCGCUAGAAAUGCUUGUUGAUAUUUGGGAACGCAAUAAGGAAUUGAUCCGCAAGCGCACGGAUAUCGGUGAGCACUUCACCCGGGAGGUUAUCCGGAGUAUCGUAUUUAUUUUUUACCACUAGGAGAAAGAGUGCAUCUGACUAACCGGUCUAUUACUACUAACCCUUUAGGCAACAAAGAAUGUCUCUCGAUGUGAGUGAUAAAUAGAGAAGACUACAACCGUAAUCUCCUUCUAACCUUGGUAAGGAUGAUCUACUGUUCAAUUGGGGAGGCUAACGGAAUCUAGACACCACAAAGGAUGUUCAACCCGCACCUAUAAACCCUAUCCUUCCUGCUAACGAGAUAUGGUCUGCAAAGGUAACUCGGAAAUGUCACGUUCCUCACUACUACCACGGUCUAGUUAGUCAGGGAAUAUCUAUGAGUACCCCAGCCUAAACACCACGUUUACGCCAGCAAUGAUUACUCUAAACUCUACGCGAAGAGAUUAAAGUAAACUCAUAAACCAAAAGAACAAUAAAACAAGAACUUACUAGAAUUUAGAAGUCGAAAUACUGAAGAAUCCUAGGAGCAAGCUUCGGGUUAGAGAACUUGAUCCCGCAGGUACAAGCUUGGAGUAGACACCGACAGGCCGGGCUUCCUCCAAUCUACACCUCCACUCUAUCUCUCUCAAUCUAGUAGAAACUAGAAGAUCUAUUUCUACUUUACAUUGGUUGCUAAGCCUAAAAAGAAAUAUUAUUUAGAGAAGAGGUUUUCCUUCGAGGGCACCCCUCAAUCUCUAUGAUAACUUCUUGUCUCCUCCAGGGGCCAGGGGGUCUCCUUAUAUAGUCCUCCUCCUCUAUGCAUUUUUGGGUUGGUAGGCGAUGUGGUACUACGUUAUCCUUGAUCCAUUAGGUCGAUGGAACAUCGUGUGCGAAGAGAGUCCCGAACGGAGUACAGGAGAGGGCGGGCGCCCACGUCCUCAGGGCGGGCGCCCUAGGCCUGGCCCCUUUCGGCCUCUGCUUUCUUCCCAUGGCUUCUAGAGUCUUCUAGAUGGUAGAAAAUUGUGCGGUGCGUUGAUAUCUCUAUGUAAUACCGAUAUGUGGGUCUUUCUUCCUUAUUUCCUGAUAACCCCCUGCAGAAACAGAUAAACAACAAAACUCGUAGAAUUCUGUCAGAUCAAACCCUAAUUCUAGGUGUUGGUUGCAUAUUGGUCCUUUCUCUUGUUUAUUUGAUAAUUAAAAUUGAUACUUAAGAACCGUCAACAGUCGUCGACCCCAUCAUCGUCAACACCCGGCUCUCAAAGGUACUGAUGGACGGCGGCAGCAGCCUCAACAUCAUCUACCUUGAGACCCUCGACCUCUUGGGCAUCAAUAGGGCACAGCUCCAACCAAGCGUCGGUGGCUUCCAUGGUGUCGUACCAGGAAAGAAGGCGUUGCCGGUAGGUCGAAUCGACCUAUCAGUUUGCUUUGGCACGACGGCCAACUUCAGAAAGGAGACCCUCACCUUUGAGGUGGUGGGUUUUUGAGGCACGUACCACGCCAUCAUCGGGCGCCCGGGUUAUGCCAAAUUCAUGGCCAUCCCCAACUACACCUACUUGAAGCUGAAGAUGCUCGGUCCCAAGGGCGUCAUCACCGUCAGCUCCUCUUUUGAGCACGCAUACGAGUGCGACGUCGAAUGCGUCGAGUAUGGAGAAGCAGUCGAGAGUUCCACCAAACUCGCAUCGAAGCUCGAGGCCCUGGCCGCAGAGGCUCUAGAGCCUAAGCGCCACGCGGGCAGCUUCGAGCCAGCAGAAGGAACAAAGAAGAUCCCGCUCGACCCCUACAACUCCGACGGCAAGGUGCUGACGAUCAGCGCCGACCUCGAUCCCAAAUAGGAAGCUGUGCUCGUCGACUUUCUCCGUGCAAACGCCGACAUGUUUGCAUGGAGUCCCUCGGACAUGCCGGGCAUACCGAGGGAAGUCGCCGAGCACUCCUUGGAAAUUCGAGCCGGUUCCAAGCCAGUGAAGCAACGGCUGCGCCGCUUCGACGAAGAGAAGCGCAAGAUCAUUAGCGAGGAAAUCCAUAAGCUUUUGACGGCCGGAUUCAUCAAGGAGGUUCACCAUCCCGACUGGUUAGCAAACCCUGUACUAGUUAAGAAAAAGAAUGGGAAAAUGAGGAUGUGUGUCGAUUAUACAAGUUUAAAUAAAGCAUGUCCGAAAGUUCCUUUUCCUUUACCACGUAUCGAUCAAAUUAUUGAUUCUACUGCAGGAUGUGAAACUCUUUCUUUCCUUGAUGCAUAUUCUGGUUACCAUCAAAUAAAAAUGAAAGAGUCCGACCAGCUCGUGACAUCUUUCAUUACGCCUUUUGGGAUGUAUUGUUAUGUAACCAUGCCGUUCGGACUUCGAAACGCGGGAGCUACAUAUCAGCGCUGCAUGCUCCACGUGUUUGGCAAGCACAUAGGGUCGACGGUCGAGGCCUAUGUCGACGACAUCGUCGUCAAGUCAAAGCGACGGGGAGACCUGAUCCAGGACCUCGAGAUCGCCUUCAGCUGCCUACGCGCCAACCAGAUCAAGCUCAACCCCGAGAAAUGCGUUUUUGGCGUACCUCAAGGCAUGCUCCUGGGUUACAUCGUUUCCCAGCGCAGCAUUGAAGCCAACCCCGAGAAAGUCUCGGCCAUCACGAGAAUGGGGCCAAUCCGAGACGUCAAGGGCGUGCAGAGAGUCACGGGAUGCUUAGCGGCGCUGAGCCGUUUUAUCUCGAGGUUGGGAGAAAAGGCGUUGCCACUAUAUCGACUUCUGAAGAAAGUCGAGCGUUUCUCUUGGACCCUAGAGGCCGAGGAAGCCCUCGAUUACUUGAAGAAAAUGCUAACCUCUGCACCAGUCCUAGUCCUGCCUCAACCCGCAGAACCUCUGCUUCUAUACGUCGCCUCAACGACCCAGGUCGUUAGUGCAGCAGUAGUGGUCGAGAGGCAGGAAGAGGGGCAUGCGCUGCCAGUCCAGAGGCCAGUCUAUUUCAUCAGCGAGGUGCUUUCGGAGACCAAGGCGCGUUACCCGCAAAUCCAGAAGCUAAUCUACAUCGUAAUCCUCGCCCGACGCAAGCUGCCGCACUACUUCCUCGGCCACCCUAUCACGGUGGUCUCGUCUUUCCCCUUGGGCGAGAUCAUCCAGAGCCGGGAGGCCACAGGAAGAAUCGCCAAGUGGUCGGUCGAGCUCAUGAGCUAGACCCUCACCUAUGCGCCCCGAAAAGCCAUCAAGUCACAAGCCCUGGUGGAUUUCGUCGCGGAGUGGACGGACUCCCAACUCCUCACGGCUCAGGUCCAGGUGGAGCUGUGGACGAUGUAUUUCGACGGGUCUCUCAUGAAAAUGGGAGCAGGGGUGGGCCUGCUAUUCAUCUCGCCCUUGGGUGUUCAUAUGAGGUGUUGACGGUCCUUAAGUAUCAAAUUUAAUUAUCAAAUAAACAAAGAAAAGGAUCCAAAUGAAAUCAACAUCUAGACUUAGGGUUUUAUCUGACAGAAUUCCAUGAGUUUUGGUGUUUGUCUAUUUCUGCAGGGGGUUAUUAGAGUAGGGUGAGAGAGAAGGCAAUGUCAUUAUGCUUUAUACCACAAAUACCACAUAUUUUGAGAGAAGGCAUAUACCAUCAUUGCCUUGGUAAGGAUCCAGAAACACCACAAAAGAGAGAUUUGAGAGAAUCAUACAAGGAAUCUCUGAGUUUUAUUUGAAAAUCUGCAAAAAUUCUAGAGCUAUAUGUUGACGGUCCUUAAUGCUCAUAUUUAACCAUCAACUAAUCAUGGAAAAGGAUCCAAAUGCAACCAACACCUAGACUUAGGGUUUUAUCUGACAGAAUUCCACAAGUUUUGGUGUUUGUCUAUUUCUGCAGGGGGUUAUCAGUAAAUAUGGAGGAAAGGCCCACACGUCGGGUUUACAUAGAGAUAUUAACGUGCCGCGCAAUUUUCUAUCAUCUAGAAGACUCCAGAAGCCACGGGAACGAACGGGAAGGAAAUCGGGCUCGGAGGCAGGGCGCCCGCCCAACUCUCCUGGGCGCCCGCCCAGCUACAGUGCCCAAUCAGGACACGUUUCGCGGAAUAUGCUCCAUCGACCUAAAGGAUCAAGGAAAACCGUGCGAUUAAUGUCGGUUUGAUCCGACGGCCCAGAUUCACUUGAAAAGACUAUAUAAGCAAGGCCCCCUGGCCCCUGGAGAUCAUACCUCUUCUACAGAAUCAAAGCUAGGGUUUCAAUUCUUCAUCCAAGUAGAGAGGAUCCCUCUAGUUCUUCUAGUUCUACCUCUAGUUCAUCUAGAUCUAGUUCUAGUUCAUCUAGUUCUAGUUCUAGUUCCUCUAGUUCUAGUUCUAGUUAGUUCUAGUUGUAAUUUAGAAAAUAGGGAGAGAGAAGAGGAGAGCGGAGGAGGAGCCGGAUCUGUCGGAUCUUUCUCAACAUUAUACUUUUGCAGCAUCUGGUUCGUUCUUCAUCGUUCUCCAGGUUCUUCAAUUCAUAAUUCCUGAGUUCUCUAAUUACUUUUAUUUACAUUCAAGUUAUUUAUUAGAUUCCCGCUUGCAUCAAGUGCUCUAAUCUUUGAAACAUUAGAGUAGUAAUUAAUAGAUUAGACGUAGUGUUUAGUCUUGCAAUUACCUAGAAUUGCACCCAAUCCUGCGGAUUGUUGUGGUAGCCUUAGGGUAGUGACAGCCCUAACGGUCGACGUAUUCCACCACGUUCGGAUCGGUGUUUGUAGGACCGUAGUCGGAGCUUCCUAGCCCCCUUCUCAUCUCUUUCUGUGGUUAGUGUUCUGAUGUUCCGAAAUAGAUAAUCUUGAAGUAAUUCUUGAUUCUUAGAUCAACUAGAGAACUCUCAGGAAACUUCCUCUCUUCCCACCAAAAAUAAUUAUAUAGUUAUCCUUGGGCGAUUUUGGAUCUUAAUUAGUACACUCACGUUCCCUGUGGAAAAUCGAUACUCUGGAAUACUCCCGGGUGAAGGCUACAUCGGUAUCCGUGCACUUGCGGAUUUUUCUGUUUGCGUUUAAAAUACCCAACAAGCUUUCUGGCGCCGUUGCCGGGGAACGGUAGCUGUGCUAGUUUCGAACCAAGUCGUCCGUGUACCCUUUUUCUUUUCCUUUUAUACCACACUCACCUUACCAUUUUCACCACACCACAUGGAUUUCAUUCUAAGCAUUAAUGAGCAUGGAAUUUAUUUCAUAGCCACUUCAUUUACUCCAUGCUCAUAUGCAACAUCUUCACAAUCCAUUGGUCUCUCCAACAUCACCACAUUCGAGAUCUCCAACCCCCUCUUCCUUUCUAUUUAUAAAAACUUUAAAAGGGCGGUUGUCGAUGCAUAUGUCUAUAAUAAAUUUUGCAGAUCUCGUUGAGUUGAUCUUGAUAUAGGUCAGCGUUGGAGGGGAAACCACUUCACUGACAUAAAUCGAUGGUUUCCCAAGGACAAGCUUAGUGUCCUAAAACAAGCACUGAUCAGACCAUAACAUAAACUUUUAAUUAUUUGCAACAUUACCUUGUGUGUUGAGCAUAUCAGGAUAAUUGUAAAAAUAUUCCUUCGGGUAUUCUUGUCACUAACCUUUAUAGGAUUGGAGCAAGAAGAUCGGAUGAAUGACAAGCACAAGGUAUGUCCAACCAAUCAUCAUACAACAUUGAAUUAAAUUCAUCCAAACUUGAAUUUUACAAAAUUCAAGCUUGGGGGAGUACUUUACAUAAAAACAUCCUUUGCAAUGUUGCUAUGUUGGUUGUCCUUACCUUUGAGACAUGCUCAAUUUGUUAAAUACUAAACACACUACUUCAUCUCCACUUAAGUAGAUCUCUAUAAAUGCUCUCAUGCUACCUUUAUUUGCUUUAGUAUAUGUUUAGGUUUGGAGUAGUUUCAUUUAUCUCUUAAUUAAGCAUGGUGCUUAGUUUAGGAGUGAUGAUCUUACUUCCAAGGGAGUUUAAAUUAAGCAUGAUGCUUAGGUUAAAGUGCCCUCCUAAAUCAAAUUAGACAUGGUGUCUAGGUUGAUCUUUGAGCCGAUAGUAUGCUAUAGUAGAUAUUGGAUAUUUUGUUGGACUAACCCCUGCAGGAAAACUUUCAGUAUCAAUCUGGGAAGCCUUGAGACAAACUCACAUUGGAGACAAAGAGAGAGGCACGUGAAGUUUAACAAUUUACACAAGGAAGGCAUAGCUCACAAGAGAUGAUCUAUGGAGGGUGCCACAAACACGAUGCAUAACCGCUAAGAAAGGAAAGCUUCCACAAGGUGAUACUGUACCAUCACUCUUCAAGUAAGGUAACAUCUUAAGGUACUUGUCUAUCACUUUUAUAAGUUUCUCCUUGGUUCUAGCGUUCACAUGAGUAAAAGAGACAAACAUGUAUGAUUUACAACUCUUGAUUAACCAACCCAAUCGAUUCAACAUGUUUAGUCCUUCCACCUUUGUGAUUCCACACUCCUAAUCAUAUGAGCUAAAAUGUUGCACACUCAAUCUUUGGAAGAUAUAUUUAAAAAACAACAUAAAUAUAGAUAGAUUAUCUUUCCAUUAGGUUGAGCGAUUUGAUCUGACAAAUGUUUUAAAUGCUACACUCAUGAUCUUAUUGUCCAUCAACUUUGUCUUGCUCACUGUGCUUGAGGUUAGAGAAGAACAAAUACACUUUUGGUUCUGUUGGUGUUUUCCACCAACAGGGCCCAUGCACUUGAUCUCUGCCUUGUCUCUAUGAGCAGGUACACUUCGAGCAAAAUAUGGAGGAGUAUUAUAACUCCUAGACUCCACCAAGUGAAGAAUCUGGAUCUACGAGCACAAACACACUGGAGAUACUGGACACUCAGGCAAUCACUGCCCUGAGAUGCUUGAGGAUGUAACUACUGGAGUAACCCCGUUGUGGAAGUAAUUACUGACCUUCUGCCGGUCAAGAGAGGCGAUCCAGGACGCCCCGUCAUCCCGAUCUCCAUCGGCAUGGUGGACUUCCCAGAACCACUCCGCGACUUUGGCUUUAGCGUCAACAUUAUGCCCAGGAACCUCUACGUCCGAGUUGGUACCUUAUACGCUCUAGCAGACUUCGUGGUGAUAGAGAUUGAUACUGAUGAGAGGGCACCCAUCAUCCUAGGGAGGCCAUUCCUGAACACCUCGGGAGCUGUCAUCUACGCUAGUGCUGCCAAGAUUAGUCUUUACAUCAAGGGGAGGAAGGAGACGUUUUUCUUCAAGAACAAGACUACACAAAUCUCAGAGCAAUCCCGACAUGAACCAGGGAAGAGGACCAACAGGAGGAACAGAAACAAGCAAAUGUGGACUGAGUCAGCUAAGAUGGUCACUGCAGCUCAAGAAGGUCAAGAUCGUCAACUCAAGUCGCCUUUCUUGAUCAAGAAGGACGACCCUGGUGUUCCUAGCAUCAAGUGCACAAUCAACAGAUAUUCUUUUCAGAAGACACUCUAUGACACCGGAUCUGACCUCAACAUAAUGGCCGCAGUCACUUAUCAGCUCCUACACGGAACCAUGCCCCUACAACCAACAUACAUUCAGCUCUAGAUGAUUUUAAGGUUAUUAACAUGGGAGAAGACGAGUACGUUCCACCCAUCAUCUUUGGGAGACAGUUCCUCAGCACCGUUAAAACAAUCAUCUACAUUGAAACCGGAGAUGUCCACAUGAACUUCCCCUCUGAGAAGGUACGCCGCUAUUUUACUGACCUUAUCUAUAUAGUUGAAGACUCUAAGCAGGUCAGGACAAGAAGAAGAUGACGCAACCGCAACCAGAGAAGGCAAAUCAUCAAGGAUGGAUGGGCGGACUAUGAAGGAGAAGUGGUAAGGUCUGAUGACAUACAGUUUGAACAGAACUGUCCUGAGGAGACCGUAGCACCAAUUCAGGUGUGGAGAAAGAAGAUAGUUAUACACGAAGAGCAGACGCCGCCGGAACAACCGACUACGCCAUCCAGCAAAUCCCAGGAUGAUUCAGGAAACGGAGAGUCCCGUUCGGAGGACUUAAAAACACCGAACGCCUUGCCAAGAGGUAAACUUGGUAGUUAUCUUUCUCCUUUCAAUUAUUUAAAAUAGUUUACUUAGUUAAUCAGGUUCACAUCAUCUUGAAAAGAAAAUAAAAAUGUUAAAAAUAGUAAGCCCCAUGUGAGUAUGAUCAUGGCAUAAAACCCAUAAGUACAUUCACUGUGGUGGCGUAAAAAUAAAAUAAAUAUAUUCCUGUCCUAUAAAAAUGAAAAUAUAAAAAUAAAUUUAUGAUCCUACCAAAGAAAAUAAUAUUUAUUGAGGAGGCUCAACAUGAUAAAGGCUAGAUAUUUAUGCUAACACUGAACUAGUUCCACAAAGCUUUGUUGUCUAUUUGAGCUCCACAGAAUUCAAGGAUUAAAGAAGACUAGGAGACGGAGGACAUCCUAAUCGCUGUCAGGGUGCUGCUGACAUUCAAAUACACCUCCACCACUUGCUAGCUACAUUAGAAGAAACUACGUCAAAAUCCAGCUUGGGGGAGAGCACCCCCAUUUAUCCAGCUAAGUAUUCUACUCACGUUUAUACUUUACUCUAAUAAUAAAAAGAUGCAUAAUCAUAAAAACCCAAAUAAACGUUUUGUGCUUAUAUAUAUAUAUAUAUAUAUAUAUAUAUAUAUAUAUAUAUAUAUAUAUAUAUAUAUAUAUAUAUAUAUAUAUAUAUAUAUAUAUAUAUAUAUAUAUAUAUAUAUAUAUAUAUAUAUAUAUAUAUAUAUAUAUAUCUUUGCUUAGUUUGCUAAAUAAAUAAAUAAACAAAGUUUGCAAUAAACCCUCGUGAUAAGCUCUCACAUGGAAAUGAUGAAUAGUUGCUCUGCCAUGACUAGUUCUCAAAAUUGAAAUCUCUCUCAAGUUUAGGCAUGACUGGUAUUAAUUAAGAUUUGCUCUAAACCUGAACUUGUGGGGAGAGUACUUGAUCUAAAGUCUAAGUCGUUAACGGAUACGAUAUGGGAAGGUUGAGCUGCUGUUUAUCUGUUCCUAGAGAUGCUAGAAUUCUGGAGAAUUUUAUCUUUGAAAAUAUUUCAAAAUGUUGCAUGAUGAGUUCCUGUAUGAUGAGAGUUUAAAUUCCUACCACAGCCAUAUAUACAUGCUUGCUAGACUUUGAGCCACACAUUUACUUUUUACUGCUUAUGAGCAUUGAGUGUGGUCAAGCUGUGUAGAACCUUAGGAGCUUGUCAUGUGGUUAAAUCAAGAUUCACUUGCACGUUCACUCACACAUGCUACUUCUACUCCAGAAGUACCAUCCACAUAUAUCCAUCCAUUUCCAUCUCCAGAACCACCCAAAAAUAUUCUACUCCUAAUCCGGGAGAGAGUAGCCAAAAACAUUCUCCUAUUUCUGUUUUUCCCUGUGAAAAAAAUGCUCAAGUUAUCUUGGUUACUACCACUUGCUAUAUUAUUUCAGGAGAUGAGUGCUCUAAAAAAAGAAAGAAAAAAAAAUACGAGGAAAUAAAAAGGGGCAAGUGCCCAGAACCUCGAAAGAAAAAAAAGUGAGACGAGAGGUAAAAAUGGACAAGUGUCCGACAGUAGAAUUAGGGGUACAAGAUACCCACCUGAGAGAAAAGAAAAUAUAGAGCAUCUCAUUCUCCUCAAAAAGUUUCAAAAGAGCAAGAAAGGUAUGUAUCCCCUCAAAAGAGCAUAAGUAGAAUUAGACUUUCACCAUUAUCACCAUCAUCACCAUACACCAUUCAUUCGCUACACAUGCACAUCUUGAUUUGACUUAUUGACUUGUUCUUCUGGAUCCAUGGUUUGACUAUGCAAUAAAUGUCUUGUAAGUAUGUAUUAGCUGUCUCCCACCUAUGAGCUCCAGAUAUCAAAAGCCUUAUUAGAGUAGGGUGAGAGAGAAGGCAAUGUCACUAUGCCUCAUACCAAAAAUACCACAUACUUUGAGAGAAGGCAUACACCAUUACUGCCUUGGUAAGGAUCCAGAAAUACCACAAAAGAGAGACUAGAGAGAGUCAUACAAGGAAUCUCUGAGUUUUAUUUGAAAAUCUACAAAAACUCUAGAGCUAUAGUUAAUCGAAGAACAAGAGACAUGGCGCUUGACUAGACUGUUCUAUCUUUUAACUACUCAAGACAGAAGUGAUGGUUACAAGUCCCAUGGUGAAAGGUAAAUGAGUAAGUUUUAAAUUUUAACAGUUUACCCUAACGUAGAGAUGAGAUCUUGUUUGAACGCAUAUGUAUCUUUAAGGUAUGAAACCACUGCAGAAACUCUUGAGUCCAUCUUUGCUCAGGGACGAGCAAAGGUUUAGCUUGGGGGAGCUUGUUGACGGUCCUUAAUGCUCAUAUUUAACCAUCAACUAAUCAUGGAAAAGGAUCCAAAUGCAACCAACACCUAGACUUAGGGUUUUAUCUGACAGAAUUCCACAAGUUUUGGUGUUUGUCUAUUUCUGCAGGGGGUUAUCAGGAAAUAUGGAGGAAAGGCCCACACGUCGGGUUUACAUAGAGAUAUUAACGUGCCGCGCAAUUUUCUAUCAUCUAGAAGACUCCAGAAGCCAUGGGAACGAACGGGAAGGAAAUCGGGCUCAGAGGCAGGGCGCCCGCCCAACUCUCCUGGGCGCCCGCCCAGCUACAGUGCCCAAUCAGGACACGUUUCGCGGAAUAUGCUCCACCGACCUAAAGGAUCAAGGAAAACCGUGCGAUUAAUGUCGGUUUGAUCCGACGGCCCAGAUUCACUUGAAAAGACUAUAUAAGCAAGGCCCCCUGGCCCCUGGAGAUCAUACCUCUUCUACAGAAUCAAAGCUAGGGUUUCAAUUCUUCAUCCAAGUAGAGAGGAUCCCUCUAGUUCUUCUAGUUCUACCUCUAGUUCAUCUAGAUCUAGUUCUAGUUCAUCUAGUUCUAGUUCUAGUUCCUCUAGUUCUAGUUCUAGUUAGUUCUAGUUGUAAUUUAGAAAAUAGGGAGAGAGAAGAGGAGAGCGGAGGAGGAGCCGGAUCUGUCGGAUCUUCCUCAACAUUAUACUUUUGCAGCAUCUGGUUCGUUCUUCAUCGUUCUCUAGGUUCUUCAAUUCAUAAUUCCUGAGUUCUCUAAUUACUUUUAUUUACAUUCAAGUUAUUUAUUGGAUUCCCGCUUGCAUCAAGUGCUCUAAUCUUUGAAACAUUAGAGUAGUAAUUAAUAGAUUAGACGUGGUGUUUAGUCUUGCAAUUACCUGGAAUUGCACACAAUCCUGCGGAUUGUUGUGGUAGCCUUAGGGUAGUGACAGCCCUAACGGUCGACGUAUUCCACCACGUUCGGAUCGGUGUUUGUAGGACCGUAGUCGGAGCUUCCUAGCCCCCUUCUCAUCUCUUUCUGUGGUUAGUGUUCUGAUGUUCCGAAAUAGAUAAUCUUGAAGUAAUUCUUGAUUCUUAGAUCAACUAGAGAACUCUCAGGAAACUUCCUCUCUUCCCACCAAAAAUAAUUAUAUAGUUAUCCUUGGGCGAUUUUGGAUCUUAAUUAGUACACUCACGUUCCCUGUGGAAAAUCGAUACUCUGGAAUACUCCCGGGUGAAGGCUACAUCGGUAUCCGUGUGCUUGCGGAUUUUUCUGUUUGCAUUUAAAAUACCCAACACUAUAGCUGAUCAAGAAUAAGAGACAUGGCACUUGACUAGACUGUUCUAUCUUUUAACUACUCAAGACAGAAGUGACGGUUACAAGUCCCAUGGUGAAAGGUAAAGUAAGUAAGUUUUAAGUCUUGACAGUUUACUCUAACUCAGAGAUGAGAUCUUAUUUGAAAAGCAUGUGUACCGUCAAUUUUUAAAAGUGUUGCAACAACUUCUGAUCCAUCACUGGGAAUAUCCUUGCUCAGGGACGAGCAAGAGGUAAGCAUGGGGGAGUUUAUUGACGGUCCUUAAGUAUCAAAUUUAAUUAUCAAAUAAACAAAGAAAAGGAUCCAAAUCAAAUCAACAUCUAGACUUAGGGUUUUAUCUGACAGAAUUCCAUGAGUUUUGGUGUUUGUCUAUUUCUGCAGGGGGUUAUUAGAGUAGGGUGAGAGAGAAGGCAAUGUCAUUAUGCUUUAUACCACAAAUACCACAUAUUUUGAGAGAAGGCAUAUACCAUCACUGCCUUGGUAAGGAUCCAGAAAUACCAUAAAAGAGAAAUUUGAGAGAAUCAUACAAGGAAUCUCUGAGUUUUAUUUGAAAAUCUGCAAAAACUCUAGAGCUAUAGCUGAUCAAGAAUAAGAUACAUGGCACUUGACUAUACUGUUCUAUCUUUUAACUACUCAAGACAGAAGUGACGGUUACAAGUCCCAUGGUGAAAGGUAAAGUAAGUAAGUUUUAAGUUUUGACAGUUUACUCUAACUCAGAGAUGAGAUCUUAUUUGAAAAGCAUGUGUACCGUCAAUUUUUAAAAGUGUUGCAACAACUUCUGAUCCAUCACAGGGAAUAUCCUUGCUCAGGGACGAGCAAGAAGUAAGCUUGGGGGAGUUUGUUGACGGUCCUUAAGUAUCAAAUUUAAUUAUCAAAUAAACAAAGAAAAGGAUCCAAAUGAAAUCAACAUCUAGACUUAGGGUUUUAUCUGACAGAAUUCCACGAGUUUUGGUGUUUGUCUAUUUCUGCAGGGGGUUAUCAGGAAAUACGAAAGAAAGGCCCACACGUCGGGAUUACAUAGAGAUAUUAACAUGCCGCGCAAUUAUCUUACAUCUAGAAGACUCCAGAAGCCACGGGAAGAAAGCGGAGGCCGAACGGGGCCAGAGGCAGGGCGCCCGCCCUGACCUGGAGUCCAAUCAGGACUCUGUUUCUCGGGAGAUCUCCACCAACCUAGAGGAUCAAGGAUAACCGUUCAAUCAAUGUCGGUUUGAUCCAACGGCCUAUAUUUACUUGAAGGGACUAUAAAACCACACCCCCUGGCCCCUGGAGGAGAGAGCCUCUCAACCCUAAUUCAUUAUUCUUCAAGGGAGAAGAAGCCUCUGAUCAAGAUUAGAGACACCACAUCAAUUAGAUAUCUAGAUUAGCAUAGCUACAUAGGAUUAGAACUAGAAGGAGUCAAUCUUCGAUUGGUUUCCGGAUCUGUCAAGAGGAUUCUUGGUAAUUCUCUAAUUGUGCUUCUAAUUGCUUUCUAAUUAUCUUUGUUCUUCAACAUUAUGAAUAUGACUUUGUUCUACUUCAAUAUAUUGCUUAUGACUUUGCUCUACUUGUUUAUAUUCAAGAUUAUAUUGUUCUUAGUUUAUCAUAGUUAUGUACUUGGCUUAGUUAGAUUGGAUCCAUAUACAUGCUUAGGAUCGUAUAGCGUUUAUCCAUCGGAUCCAUGGGUAAAUGAUAGAUAUUGUGUAGGCGUGGUGCUUAUACCGUAUUUAUCUGCGAUUGUACCCAAUAUGCCAGAUCGUGGGGUAGUUCGUGAUAGUGACAGCUUCAUUGAUUCUUAUAUAGUCCCCCUCUCGUGUAUUGGGCUGGCAGAGCAAUAUUAUUACAGGGAAGUGAUUGCUAUGUUUCUCAUUUACCUUGCUAAUAUCACUAUGCAUGGGCGUAAUCUUGUCUCACAAUGAUUGCUAAGUAUGCUUGCACUAACUAUAUAGUUGAGAAUAACUUAGGGAAUAUUCUUGUAGUUCGUUCUAAUUCCAUGCUAAUGACUAUAUAGUUGAGAAUAACUUAGGGAAUAUUCUUGUAGUUCGUUCUAAUUCCAUGCUAAUGACUUUCUAGAGUAUCUAAUUGAGGUGCUUAUCAUAUUUAUAUGUGGAAAAGUUAUGAUCAGAUUAAUUAUCUUUGUCACUAUUCAUUAUUUCAUAUAUCUUUUAUGUGACACUUACCCCUGUAUGAAAGAGUUAGAUAAAUGUUCUCAAUUAUACAUGCAAUGAUAGAUACUCAAUCUCAUAUUCUAUUCUGAAUCAAUAUUGAUGAUUGCUAAUCCCUUCCCAGUGGUAAAAAUAUAAAUAACGAUACCUGGAAUACUUCCCGGUUAAAAUGCUACAUCGGUAUUAAUCUGUGCGCUUGCAGAUCCCAUUCAUUAUUUAUUUAGAAGAGCAAUUGCAUAUUUCAAUACCGUGUCUCUCAUGUCAUGCUGGGGAUGACAACUUGGCUUAAGUGGUGUGAGGGAUAGGUUUAGCAUUUUUGGCACCGUUACUAGAUUUAGAGAACUUAGUCUACUUUUGGUAAUGAUGUUAAGAAUACCCAACAAGCAUUUUUUGGUGCCGUUGCCGGGGAAGGUUGAUUAAUAAUCACGAAUGGAAUAAAGGAUUUUGAGUUUUCAUUCGCAUCACUAAUAUGAUUGAGCUUAUCUAUUCUCUCAUACAGUUUUACCCCGAUAUUUUUCCAUUUUAUCUUAUGCAGGGGAAUGUAUGAAUAGAAGACAUCUUCCAGGAAAUUUUGUUGACAAUCCCGAAGCGUUAUUCAAGAAGACAAAAGCCAAGCUCAAGAAGAGAUCAUCAACACUUCAGCAAGAAGCUUCAUCCAAUCAAGAAGAUCACCGGAACUUGUUUUCAGAGUUCGAAGCCAUGGCGAACAAAUCGAUUCGUGAGUUCUUAGCUCCCACUACGGACAACAUCCGCACUGGACCUGCUGCAGAGAUCGAUGGCAACUUUGAGCUCAAGCCUGGACUUAUCAACAUGGUGCAAUCCAAGCAGUUCUGUGGGAAGGCACACGAAGAUGCUAGUGCUCAUCUCCAACACUUCCUGGAGAUUUGCAACACAUUUACCAUAUCAGGAGUCCCCAGAGAUGCUAUACUACUUCGCCUCUUCCCAUUCUCACUGUUAGGAAGAGCGAAGCAGUGGUUCUACGCUACAAAGGAGAAGAAUACUACGUGGGCACUCUGCUCAACAAACUUCCUGGCUAAGUUCUUUCCCAUGGGCAAGACCAAUGCUCUCCGAGGGAAGAUUACAAGUUUUCAGCAACAAAAUGAUGAAUCUGUUCCAGAAGCAUGGGAGCGCUUCCAAGACUACAUCCUAGAAUGUCCCCAUCAUGGAAUGGAGAGUUGGCUACUAAUGCAGUGCCCGAGAAACCAUGGAUGUUGCAGCUGGAGGAGCAUUCUUAUCACUUACCAUAUCACAAGCCACAGCUCUUGUGGAGAAGAUGGCGCCCAACCAAGGCUGGAAUGAAGAAAGGACCCAGACACGCAAGAGAGGUGGAGGUAUGCAUCAGCUCAAGGAGGUAGACAUGCUAUCUGCAAAGCUAGACCUGCUCAUGAAGAAGCUCGAUGAUAGAGCUGGAGACAAGAAAGAAGUUAUGCACAUCUACGACUCUCACAUGACUUGUGAGGAGUGUGGAGAUACUGGACACUCAGGCAAGCACUGCCCUGAUAUGCUUGAGGAUGUAAACUACAUCAACAACAACUACUACUACUACUACAACCGUCCUCAACAAAAUCAAGGUUGGAAUCAACAGAGGCCUAACUACUCAGGUAAUUAUCAAGGUAACAAUUCUUACAACAAUAAUAAUAAUUUUCCACCUCUGAGAGAGUUAGUGUCUAAUCAAGGAAAGCUAAUAGAUAACCUGUCUAAGAAAUUGGCAUCAAAUGAUAAAAUGCUAGAAAAUAUAAAUAAUAGAAUGGAUAAUUUCUCUACUGCCAUCAAGAAUCAAAUUAGCUUUAAUAAAAUGAUUGAAUCUCAGUUAAAUCAAAUAGCUGCUGCUGUUCCUGCUACUAACCCCGGUAUACCAUCACAACCGGAAGGAUUAGAAUCUGCAAAUCUUGUAGACAUGUUUGAUGCAGGUAAUUGGAGUAACCCUGUCACUGAAUUUACUACUGACCUUCUGCCGGUCAAGAGAGGCGAUCCAGGACGCCCCGUCAUCCCGAUCUCCAUCGGCAUGGUGGACGUUCCAGAAGCACUCUGCGACUUUGGCUCCAGUGUCAACAUUAUACCCAGGGUACUCUAUGAAAAAUUCUUUACAUAUCCUUUAUUAGAGACAACCAUGUGUUUGCAGUUUGCAGAUCAGACGAUAAGUUUUCCAAAAGGGAUAUUGAAGAACCUUUGUGUCCGAGUUGGUACCUUAUAUGCCCUAGCAGACUUCGUGGUGAUAGAGACCGGUAAUGAUGAGAGAGCACCCAUCAUCUUAGGGAGGCCAUUCUUAAACACCUCGGGAGCUGUCAUCUACGCUAGUGCUGCCAAGAUCAGUUUCUACAUCAAAGGGAGGAAGGAGACUUUUUUCUUCAAGAACAAGACUACACAAAUCCCAGAUCAAUCCAGACGUAAAUCAAGGAAGAUGACCAACAGAAGGAACAGGAACAAGCAAGUGUGGACCGAGUCAGCUAAGAUGGUCACUGCAGUUCAUGGAGGCCAAGAUCAUCAACUUAAGUCACCGUUUUUGACCAAGAAGGACGACCCAGGAAUGCUAAGCAUCUACUGCUCCAUAAAUGGAUACAGCUUCUACAAGACGUUUCGCGACACCGGAUCGGGCGUCAACAUAAUGGCCGCAGUCACCUAUCGGCUCUUGUUCAGAACCAUGCCACUAAGACCAACAUACAUUCAGCUCCAGAUGGCAGAUCAGACAUUUCGAGAAGUUAAAGGAACAGUAACUGAUGUCCCAGUCAAAAUAGACGAUCAUUUUGUCUACACAGACUUUCAGGUUAUUGAUAUGGGAGAAGACGAGUACGAUCCACCCAUCAUCCUUGGAAGACCGUUCCUCAGCAUCGUUAAAGCAAUCAUCUACAUUAGAACUGGAGAAGUCCAUAUGCACUUCCCCUUAGAGAAGGUACGCCGUUAUUUUACUGACCCUAACUACAUCUUUGAAGAAUCUAAGCAGGUCAGAAAACGAUGCAACCGCAACCAGAGGAGGCAAAUCAUCAAGGACGGAUGGGCAGACUACGAAGGAGAAAUUGUAAGGUCACAAGACGUAGAGUUUAAACAGAAUUAUCCAGAGGAGACCGAAGCACCGAGUUAGAUAUGGAAAGAGAAGAUAACUAUACAUGAAGAGGAGGCGCUGCCGGAAGUACCGACUACGCCACCCAACGAAUUCCAGGACAAUUGAGAAAAUGAAGAGUCCCGCACCGAACGCCUUGCCAAGAGGUAAACUUGGUAGUUAUCCUUUCCCUUUCAGAUAUUUAAAAUAGUUUGCUUAGUUAAUCAUGUUCGUACUAUCCUAAAAAGAAAAUAAAAAUGUUAAAAAACAGUAAGCCCCAUGUGAGUAUACGAGUGGCAUAAAACCCAUAAGUACAUUCACUGUGGUGGCAUGAAAAUAAAAUAAAUAUUUCAUUUCUGCUUUAUAAAAUAAAAAUAUAAAAAUAGGGAGUAACAAUUAUUAAGGAGUCUCAACAUGAUAAAGGCUAGAUAUUUAUGCUAACACUUAAUCAGUUCCACAAGCUUUGUUGUCUAUUUGAGCUCCACAGAAUUUAAGAAUCAAGAAGAUUAGUAGACGGAGGACAUUUUAAUCGCUGUCAGAAUGCUGCUGACUUUCAAAUACACCUCUACCACCUGCUAGCUACAUCAAGAGAAAUUACGUCAAAAUUUAGCUUGGGGGAGAGCACCCCCAUUUAUCCCGAUAAGUAUUUCUAUCUAUCUAUCUCUAUACUUAUACUAUUUUAGAAUAUAAAUAUACAUAAACCAGGAAAAACCAAAUAAAGAUUUUGUGCUUACAUCUUUUGCCUAGUGUGUUUAAUAAAUAAAUAAAGUGGCUAUGCUAAUCUGUAUCUUAAUAAUAAAACUUUAGCAUGGAUAUGAUGAAUAGUUGCUCUGCCUAAUUUGCACAUUUUAAGUUCUCUCUCAAGUUUAGACAUAACUGUUAUAAUUUAAAGCUUGCUCUAGACCUAAACUUGUGGGAUGAAAACUUGAUAUGAAGUCUAAAUUGUUAACGGAUACGAUAUGGGAAGGUUGAGCUGCUGUUUAUCUAUUCCUAGAGAUGCUAGAAUUCUGGAGAAUUUUAUCUUUAAAAAUCUUUAAAAUAUUGCAUGAUGAGUUCCUAUAUAAUGAGAGUUUAAAUUCCUACCACAGCCAUAUAUACAUGCUUGCUAGACUUUGAGCCACACAUUUACUAUUUACUGCUUAUGAGCAUUGAGUGUGGUCAAGCUGUGUAGACCCUUAGGAGCUUGUCAUGUGGUUAAAUCAAGAUUUCACUUGCACGUUCACUCAUAUAUGCUACUUCUACUCCAGAAGUACCAUCCACAUAUAUCCACCCAUUUUCAUCUCCAGAACCACCUAAAAAUAUUCUACUCCUAAUCCAGUAGAGAAUAGCCAAAAAUAUUUCUGUUUUUCCCUAUAAAAUAAAUGCUCAAGUUAUAUUGUUACUACCACUUGCUAUAUUAUCUCAAGAGAUGAGUGCUCUGAAAAAAAAGAGAGAGAAAAAAAAGAUACGAGGAAAUAAAAAGGGGCAAGUGCCUGGAACCUCGAAAGAAAAGAAAAGUGAGACGAGAGGUAAAAAUGGACAAGUGUCCGACAGUAGAAUUAGGGGUACAAAAUACCCACCUGAGAGAAAAGAAAAAUAAGAGCAUCUCAUUCUCUUCAAAAGUUUCAGAAAGCAAGGAAGGUAUGUAUCCCCUCAAAAGAGCAAAAGUAGAAUUAGACUUUCACCAUUGUUAUCACCAUCAUCACCAAAUACCAUUCAUUCGCCACACAUGAACAUCUUGAUUUGACUUAUUGAUUUGUUUCUUUGGAUCCAUGGUUUGACUAUACAAUAAAUGUCUUGUGAGUAUGUAUACUUUAUCUCCCACCUAUGAGCUCCAGAUAUUAAAGCCUUAUUAGGGUAGGGUGAGAGAGAAGGCAAUGUCAUUAUGUUUUAUACCACAAAUACCACAUAUUUUGAGAGAAGGCAUAUGCCAUCACUGUCUUGGUAAGGAUCCAAAAAUACCACAAAAGAGAGAUUUGAGAGAAUCAUACAAGGAAUCUCUGAGUUUUAUUUGAAAAUCUGCAAAAACUCUAGAGCUAUAGCUGAUCAAGAAUAAGAGACAUGGCACUUGACUAGACUGUUCUAUCUUUUAACUACUCAAGACAGAAGUGACAGUUACAAGUCCUAUGGUGAAAGGUAAAGUAAGUAAGUUUUAAGUCUUGACAGUUUACUCUAACUCAGAGAUGAGAUCUUAUUUGAAAAGCAUGUGUACCGUCAAUUUUUAAAAGUGUUGCAACAACUUCUGAUCCAUCACUGGGAAUAUCCUUGCUCAGGGACGAGCAAGAGGUAAGCUUGGGGGAGUUUGUUGACGGUCCUUAAGUAUCAAAUUUAAUUAUCAAAUAAACAAAGAAAAGGAUCCAAAUAAAAUCAACAUCUAGACUUAGGGUUUUAUCUGACAGAAUUCCACGAGUUUUGGUGUUUGUCUAUUUCUGCAGGGGGUUAUCAGGAAAUACGGAAGAAAGGCCCACACGUCGGGAUUACAUAGAGAUAUUAACGUGCCGCGCAAUUAUCUUACAUCUAGAAGACUCCAGAAGCCACGGGAAGAAAGCGGAGGCCGAACGGGGCCAGAGGCAGGGCGCCCGCCCUCCUGCCCUGGGCGCCCGCCCUGACCUGGAGUCCAAUCAGGACUCUGUUUCUCGGGAGAAAUAUUAUUACAGGGGAGUGAUUGCUAUGUUUCUCAUUUACCUUGCUAAUAUCACUAUGCAUGGGCGUAAUCUUGUCUCACAAUGAUUGCUAAGUAUGCUUGCACUAACUAUGAUAAUGCUAGACUAUAUAGUUGAGAAUAACUUAGGGAAUAUUCUUGUAGUUCGUUCUAAUUCCAUGCUAAUGACUUUCUAGAGUAUCUAAUUGAGGUGCUUAUCAUAUUUAUAUGUGGCUAAGUUAUGAUCAGAUUAAUUAUCUUUAUCACUAUUCAUUAUUUCAUAUAUCUUUUAUGUGACACUUACCCCUGUAUGAAAGAGUUAGAUAAAUGUUCUCAAUUAUACAUGCAAUGAUAGAUACUCAAUCUCAUAUUCUAUUCUGUAAUCAAUAUUGAUGAUUGCUAAUCCUUUCCCAGUGGUAAAAAUAUAAAUAACGAUACCUGGAAUACUUCCCGGUUAAAAUGCUACAUCGGUAUUAAUCUGUGCGCUUGCAGAUCCCAUUCAUUAUUUAUUUAGAAGAGCAAUUGCAUAUUUCAAUACCACGUCUCUCAUGUCAUGCUGGGGAUGACAACUUGGCUUAAGUGGUGUGAGGGAUAGGUUUGGUAUUUUUGGCACCGUUACUAGAUUUAGAGAACUUAGUCUACUUUUGGUAAUGAUGUUAAGAAUACCCAACAUGAGGUACGUCAUCAGGAUUCAUUUUGCCGCAUCCAACAACGUCGCGGAGUACGAGGCCCUUGUCAACGGUCUGAAGAUCGCCAUCGAGCUAGGAGUCUGACGCCUCGACGUUCGAGGCGACUCCCAGCUCGUCAUCGACCAAGUGAUGAAGGCCUCGAACUGCCACGACCUGAAAAUGGAGGCGUACUGCAAGGAGGUCCGUCGACUCGAGGACAAGUUCCACGGCCUCGAACUCGUCCACGUCGCCCGACGCUACAACGAGGCAGCCGACGAACUCGCUAAAAUCGCGUCGACUCGGGACACGGUCCCACCUGACGCAUUCGCAAGAGAUUUGCACGAGCCAUCCGUCGACUUGGGCUCGGGGGCUGGUGUCGAAGCCACCCCCAACCAACAGACCGACACCAUCGAGGCGCUGCUAAUGGCAGCCGAGGUGACGGAAGUGGAACAGCGGCCCAGUCGACCGAUCGACUGGCGCACGCCAUUCCUCGACUGCAUAUCCGCUGCGAGCUACUAGAAGAUCGAUCCGAGGCCCUCUGUAUCGCUCGACGGGCCAAGUCAUAUGUAAUCUAUGGCGAAGAUAAUGAGUUAUAUCGGCAAAGCCCGACGGGGAUCUUGCAGCAUUGCAUCACCAUAGAAGAAGGCCGAAAACUCCUCGAGGAUCUACACUCGGGGGCUUGUGGCCACCAUGCGGCUCCACGGACCCUCGUAGGGAACUCUUUCCGUCAAGGCUUCUACUGGCCAACGGCCGUAUCCGACGCCAUCGAGCUCAUGCGCUCGUGCCAUGGGUGCCAGUUUUAUGCCAAGCAGACGCAUCUUCCCACCCACGCUCUCCAGAUGAUCCCCAUCACGUGGCCGUUUGCGGUGUGGGGGCUCGACCUAGUAGGACCUCUACAGAAGCCAAAGGAGGAUACACCCAUUUGUUGGUAGCCAUCGACAAAUUCUCCAAAUGGAUCGAGGCUCGACCCAUCACCAACAUCCGCUCCGAGCAGGCCGUCCUUUUCCUCACCGACAUCAUCCACCGGUUUGGGAUCCCCAAUGUCAUCAUCACCGACAACGGCACUCAGUUCACCGGUAGAAAGUUCUUGGACUUCUGCGAUCGGCAUCACAUCCUUGUGAACUGGUCUGCAGUGGCUCACCCUCGAACUAACAGCCAGGUCAAGCGUGCCAACGGCAUGAUUUUACAAGGGCUCAAACCAAGGAUCUACAACCGCUUGAAGAAAUUCGGCAAGAAGUGGGUCGAGGAGCUUUCUUCUGUCCUAUGGAGCUUAAGAACGACGUCGAGCAGGGCCACAAAAUACACCCCAUUCUUCAUGGUCUAUGACUCAAGAGAACGUGGUCGACCAGCUCGAGGAAGCUCGAGAGAUGGCCCUCCUCAACUCCGCCAGAUACCAGCAGAAGCUUCGACGCUACCACGACAAGCACGUGCGCAAAAGGGACUUGAACGUGGGCGAUCUCGUCCUACGACGGCGGCAAAGCAAUCAAGGACGCCACAAGCUGACUCCACCUUGGGAGGGCCCAUACGUGGUGGCCGAAGUCCUGAAGCCAGGAACAUACAAGCUCGCGGACGAAAAAGGGGCAAUCUUCACCAACACAUGGAACAUCGAACAGCUACGUCGAUUCUACCCCUAGAAUUUUAGAGCUUUAUGUUCCCAUGUUCAUUCUGUACCAAAUCCUUAUGAAUAAGUGCAUGAAUGAAUGAGAUCUUUCCCUCGAGCAAUUUAUUUUUUCAUGAUGUUAGAAGGGAGUACCAACUAUGACCCAUCAUAGUCGAUACCCCCUCGGGGGCUAGCAGGGGGGUGCCCCCCCAGUGUCAAAAAAAUCAAAUAAUCCUUUUUGUUCCUAUCUGUAGACUUCAUACGGUCGAGUAGUAGAGGCACCUCGAGCCCCUUAGCCUGAGAACUCCUACGCCCCCGGGCUACGAAAACUCAACUCGCUUCCUCACCCUUGAGGAUAUCGAGGCCGCCUUAAGCAAAAGACCAAACGAGGAAUACAAACAUAGGCACAAAAGGAAAAAGAGCCUCGAGCGGAAAGACGGGCAAACAUUCACGAACAUUAUAAAUCACUUAAAAGCACAAUAUUACAUUAAAUAAAGUGGCAAAGUACUAUACAAGGGGCCUAGGCACCCAGAGCAGGCUCGCAUGCCUCAGUCCGCGUCUCAAUCCUCGCCACCGCCACCCGCGCCUGAACUAGUCUCAGGAGGAAGUACUUCUGGCUCGAACAACUUAGCCAGCCUCUCCCCAGGAACCUCCGCGUCGUCGAUCAAGGCGUGGAGCCUCUCCUCGUUCUCCGCGUCAGUCUUGGAGAUGUCGGUGAUGAAGCCGUGGGACACCACCUCCAUGUCGUACGAAAAACCCGAGCAGACUACCGCCAUCGCCCGCUUCACGCCGACAUGAAGAGCGUCCCGCACUCGAUCCCUCAGUGCCACGCCUAAAUAGCACAGCUGAUCGACCAGUGCGUCGCCUCGAGCUUCCUCCCUCGAUUCUUCCAUAGGCUCGAUCUCCCAAGAGGUCGAGAGAUCGCUUAUCGCCGUCCGCAGCCGACAGUUCAGAGCGACCUCCCCCUCGAGCUGGUCUUUGGCAGAGCGAGCCUCGACUUGGGCGGCCAGCAGCUCGUCCUUAAGCCCUGCGAAGACCAACACGAGGAAAUUAGCUAACACCAAACACACCUCGAAAAGAAAACUCGAUAGUAGGAACAUACCGCGAAUGCUCUCCUCCAGAGCCGUGUUCUCGCCAACCAAGUUGGUGUUGGCCCUCUCGAUCUCCCUGUUGGAGCGCGCCAGCUCGGUGUUGGCGACAUGAAGAUCUUCGAUCACCUUGCCGACUUGCGCGAUGGCCCCAUCUUUUUCCAGCAGCGCCCUCUUCAGAUGAUCGACGUCGUCAGAAAGGCUGCGGGAUCGAGCCCGCUCUGCCUCGAGAUCUUCGAGGGCCUUCCUCUUGGCCUCCUCAGCGGCGCUUCUAGCGAUCUCGCCGUUCACGCACUCCACCUUCAUCCUUUGGAAGGUUUCCCGGGCGGAGGCGAGUUCAGUCUGGAGGAGGCCCUUCUCCUUACCUAGGUCAGCAGCCGUGCUCUUGUAGGUCAGGGCCUCAUCUCGGGCUUUGGACGCAGCUUCCUCAACCGUCAUAGCCCGCUCCCUCAGCAGCGCAGCCUCUUCCACCGCCUUCCUCAAGGCCUCUCGAUCCUCGACCAGGGCAGCCUCCCUCUCCUUUUUCUCCUCCUCGAGCGCCAAGAGCUCCUUAUAGGCCUUGACGAGUUUCUCCUGCGACUCCAGGAGUUUGUCCUUGAGGACGGGGAGCUGCUCAUAGCCGCCUCUCAUGGCGUGGAUGAAGCUCGACUUGAUGCGGGAAGUUUCUUUCAGGUCCUGCGAGCCGGUGAUCGAGCAGUUAGGACACAAAACCUAUUGUUCUAUAAGGAUUAAGGACUGAAAAACACUUACGAAGUAGGCCGGUGCGAGCUCGUUGUUAACCACGUCAGACAGGAGCCCCACCGUGUGCUUCAUCCACAGGCGAAGCUCCUCGAGGUGCUCCCACUUAUAGUGAUAGGAUUGGCCUUGACCCCCGAUCGGGGAGGCUCGGGGGCUCCCUCCUGCCCUUGAGGGUGAGGCGCCUCGACCCGCUUUGGCGACGACGGGGCAGACUCACCCGCCAGGGGACGAGGCGGGGCGCUCUCAGCACCGAUCGGCGGUCGAGGGUCGGAGGAGCCUGAAAUGCGCACAUAAGCAAAGGUCAGUCGUCACCAGAAUGACAUAACUCCCAUCGCAAUGGGAAUAAGCCACUAACCCGAAUCUCUGGAGGCCGCGCCCGCAUUAAGCCUUUUCUCCAUUGAAGGCUGGGCCUGCUCAAGCGUCCGCUUCAACCUGAGGAAAGAGAAAUGAACAUAAGGGAGACUGUUGUACAAGGAAAGACAAAGAAACAGGAGAAUGAAAAUCACAGCGUCGAAGAACUUACCCCACAGGGAGAACAGCUCACCUGCCGGUGCCUCGACCGGCGGGCCUUGAGUCCCGCGGCAAGGCUCCGGACCCCUCACGGGCAGGCGCAGGCCUUGAUCCAGUAUCUACCACCUGGCGAGCGCCGGGGCUAGCGCUCCUGCGGCCAGUUUCGCCCUUCUCGGAGGCCGCGGCUCGGCCACGGGUCAACGGCCCUGUCGCCUAGGGCUUAGCCCGGCCACCCACCCUGGGUGCAGGGGGAGGUUGGGGGUGCGUGACGGCCCGACUUGGCGCAGGCGCGGGAGAGGUGUCAGCGCGGGGGCGGUGAGAUCCACCCGGCCCCUCCAGGGCGCUCCCGUCCGCAGGGCGUCGGCGUCGCCUCGAGGCGGAUCCUCGAGGAUCCGGUCGAGGCGAGACGCCAUCCCCUCGGAGUCGUCGCUGUCGUCAUCGCCGUCUCCGCCGUCGUCCUCGCUGGGGGAUUCUUCCUCAGGCUCGCCCCUUUGCCUAGACUUGGCUCGACGCGCCUCUAACGAUUGGCGAUCGAGAUUUUUCUUCUUCUUCUCUUUCUUUUCUGAGUCCUUUGCGGACUUCUUCUUUUCCGCGGAUUGCCGCCGCUUGUCACGGUCGACCCCGUCCUCCUUUACUGGAGGCCUCGAGGACCGAACGUCGAUCGGUCCCUGCGAGAGCGAAAGACAGUCUUAAAGAGGGAUCAAAGGAAACCUAGGAUCGAAACCAUGUGUAGAAAGAGAACUUACCAGAUCGACUGACCCCUCAUUAGGCCUCAUGGGGAAGCCAUUGACGUGCUCUGCCUGGAAGUCGCCGGCGGCGGCCACCCGGACCCGGGCCGCAACCUCGUCGUCCGCCGGAGCCUCGUUGGACAUCCGACACGCCUCGAGGUCCCGGGACGAGACACCAGGACCCAUCUCGUCCAUCCUCAGCGACCGAGACAUCAACGGGAGAACCCUCCGAUGAGCGGCGGUCAGGCCUUCCACGCGCAACUUCUUCAAGGCGUCGAGGAGGGGGUCGAGCCGCAACUGAUGAGCUUGGAUGACGCCGUAUGUCCAGUUCUCCGGGCGCUCCGUGAUCACGCGACCGGUGUAGGCAGGGAGGAGAUCGUCGUCAUUCGUCAGGUAGAACCACUGGGAGUCCCAUCUAGCGUGGUUCAAUGACAACCCCACCGGGAUGUACUCGCGUGGCCUCUCCAUCUUCCCCGUCUUCAGCACCAGGUUGAGGCACCCGGCCUGCACGGGUUUCCUCACGCCCGUAGUCCCAGUGGGGGCGUUGAAGAGCUCGCCCCUGUAGAGGUGGAGCCACAGCUCCCAGUGGGGCAUCAUCUCCAAAUAGCCCUCACACAUCGCGGCAAAGACCGCCGCGACGGUGAUAGCAUUUGGGGAGAAGUGCUGGAGCUCCACCCCGUAAUGGUGGUAGAGCGCUCGCAUGAAGCGGCUCGGUGGAGCGCCCAGGCCGUGGCGAUGGAACUUGGCAAAAGAAACCACAUAGCCAGUGGCGGCCUGGGCUCUCACUGGUCUGCCGCCGGCGCGAUCCACUCCGGCCGCGACGAUGAAGUACGGGGGCGCAGAAGCCCCUCCCUCUCGAGCUCCAACAACCGGCGCUCCAUCAUCGACGACGGGCGCCAGUCGUCGGCGGCGACGAGUCUCACAGGCAUCCUUGGGUGGGAGGAAGGCGGAUUCGCUACAGCUCGAGGGUGCGCGCGUGCGUGAGAUGGCAAGGGAGCAAAGGCAAGAAUGAAGGCAGAAAGCAUAAGGGAGAACGGUGGCGAGGCCACGGGAUAUUUAUAGACGGCGACCCACCAACGGACGGAUCCGAUAAACACGGUAACUCCACCCCCCAUAAAUGCGCCACCUAACGGUCCUUUCCCUCCUCACAGACGGGACGCUACGAAUUCUGCGCCGACACAGUGUCGCAACGGCUCCCGCCUGAAAAGACGCGCCCAACGGGCAAAAAGGUGAACCGCCGCGGUGCUUUUCCUUCCCCCAUAAGCCAAGGUACAUACCUGUGAAAGCCUCGAGAGGUCGCAGGCUGACCCGCCGAAAGGGUUCGACAGCCGACCUCGAGCACUGGAGUCAGGGAUGCCCGGCGAGUGGUCGAAAAUCGAGGCCCGCCUCGAGAACUCGCUGGGGAUGUCCAAGGUAGGGUCGAGACAGUCGAGAGGAAUCCCCCCGACGGGAGGCACCGAGCCACUGGACUCUAUCGAAUGAGACCAGCAUCCCCGACCACGUCGACCCCGCUUUAUGAGAACGCCUCCGGGCUACAACUGACCCUCUCGAAAGGGGCACAGGUUCUCACUUGGAUUACCCGUUAGGAACUCGAUCUGGGGUGGAUGACGCUCGCUCUAUCGAGAGUACGUCGAAACCCCCGCGCAAAACAAGCCAAUCAGAACCUUCCACCACAUGUGUCGACAGCGUUUCUGCACAUUAGGCGAUAUAACCCUCGAAGGAGUCAAAAACUCCUCCAAGGGCUCGGGGGCUACACCCGCGGGGUCGCUCGCGCGCCCCCACGGAACCUCGACCACAAAAAUAUAGCCUCCACUCGAGCGCAAGCGCUCGAAUGGAGACUCGGGGGCUACUGUCGAGGGUAUCAGUAAGGGGUACCCAAGCUGACAUACAUAACGAGAUUGCCCGUACACAAUUCGAGGCCUCCUACUCGACGCUCUGCCCAGUCACGUGUACUGUCAUCGAUGACCGCAGCCUCGAAGACGGAAAGGGCGUCGAGCGAAUCGGUCAGGGCUCGAGCGCCGGCUACCGUCGAAUACGGAAACAGGCUCGAGCGAAUCGGAAUGCGUCGAGCGCAAGGACGCCGCCCGCUGCCUGACGCGGGCACGGGAACCAGAGCAUUUAAUACGCCUGUCGCGAUCUCACCUAACACGCCAGUCACGGGAAGCGUGAUAGGGAACAGGCACCCGUCCCGUCAUUCUUUUUGCAGCCUUCCCCACCAAAUAACCCAGAACGUGUCAGGAUGCAGGAAGCAUGGUCGGAACGUCUAAUCAAGACCCCCUCGAGACGUCCAAGGUCAGCGCUUGGGCCAGCAAGGCGUUGCACGGCCACCAACCCUCGACCAGACACAUUUCCUUCCUGGGGAAGGGUUGGGCGUCGAAUGACGACACCACAGCCGCUCCGACGUAUCCGCCGCCGUGACGUGCAGGCGUGCAGCAGACAAACCUGCCCAAGGCGGCGUACAGAGCAGAAUACAGGGGCACGCGUAAUCAUCAUCAAGCUACCAGGACGGGACGGCUCGAAACCACGCCGGUACGGAGGCCUCGAGUAGGGCAGCGCGCCAUGCCCCUAUCGACCUCUACUCCAAACGCCUACACAUGUACCCUAGGCCCCUCCUUGGAACUAUAAAAGGGGAGGCCUGGGAGCGAUCACACAACAACACAACACUCAAGCCACACAUAGUAGAGCUUCCAUACUCCAUGUCCCUCCAUACCACGCUUGUAUUCACCCCUGUACAAGCACUUAGGUGCAAAAUAAUACAAACUCUCCCCCUCCCGCUGGACGUAGGACCUUCUCUUGCCCGAACCAGGAUAAAUCUUUGUGUCUUUUUGCAUCACCAUCUGGAAAGGGGAGCACACAUACAAAUUCACUAGUUGGUGUGACCCCCCGGGGGGAAAACACCGACACUUCUCAUAAAUUAUAUCAUCAUCUUAAAAUGCUCGUGAUAGGGAAAUGUACAACCUUGCUGCUACUAACACAAAAAGGUUCUCGACUUUGAUUGUAGCACCUAGUUUUAAGGAUAAAACCAGAUAUACACUUUAAGUGAGUCAAGGAAGUCAAAUCAUACAUAUGGCUAAAAAUAAAGGUAAUAUAAAAUAUAAUGCUUAAUGUAUAAUUCAUUUAGUAUAAAGAAAAUAACCUUAGGCACAAAUAAUAGAUAGACAACUCUGAUCUUUAGGUGAAGACUCACUCCAUAGGGAUAACUGAUUGGUUGAUCGCAAGCCUCACUUCUUUAAACUCUAGCAAUCUGGUAUCCAUCUAGGACUUUUUCAAUGUAUAGAAAAUUAAAGCCAACGUAAGUAAAUACCGUACUCAAUAAUAUAACAUGGGGUUCACAAGGCUCAAAAGGUUGAUAUUGGUUUACUGUGAUUAGCUUUUAAUAAGUCAUAACAAUAGAUAAGCAAUGGCCCAAUUAAUCACGUGAACCUGAUAAGAUGAAUAAUAAAAUAGCAUUUUAAAAACAUCGGCAAUCAUUAGUCAUUAUUUCAUAAGUUUUCUAUGCCGCUCAUGACCACUAGCGCAUGUGAUAUAGCAGUUUUACACUCUGCAGAGGUUAUAUAUUUUUACCUUGAGCCGUGAUUUGCCCUUUCGCCUGAGGUAGUUAAUCUCUUGACCCACUACCAAGGAAGGUGGGUUCAAUAUGAAGCAUUUUAAAAUUACCUCUAACUUGUUAGUAGCCACUAGGUUUCAGCAGCUAGGCAAAUGGAGUCCCUUUAACAGAGUGGCACAUUCCAUGCAGGCUAUACACACCCUGAGAGAUAAAGAAGUCAUUCUACAACCUAGACCUCUCUUGCACCUUUUGGUAACCACUAACGAGUUAGAAAAGCUUAGUUUACUUAGCUGAAUCCAAAGUCAAAGCCAUAGCUCUGUGGUUGUACUGUAAGCCGUGGAUUUUACAAAUUUGCUUAUAGACUAGGUAGUAUGCUCGUGCGUUGCUACGGGACAACUAAACCUUUAUACUAAAAACACAUAGAUCACAUAAUAAGAUUACAAUAAUGCCUGACAAAUAAUUCUGCUCCAAUAAUAAGGGCAAAACUGUUUCUUGAAAUGUAGCAAUUUACAUCAAGAACAUGCUCAUUCAACUUCUCUUCCUAUUUCCAUCACUUUUUUAUUUGCACCCACCAAAUGGCAGAUAUUAUAUACAUGCAAAUUUGAGAAGGCAUCACUGAGAUUUUCUUUAAAUGGGUUCUGAGGCCAAUGAAAUCUAACCAUCUACAAGAAACACUUGAUGAGACACAAGCACAUAGAAUGUUAUUUUUGCCCUUAAGGGUAAAUUUUCUAGGGACAUGUAAGUGGUUGAUAACAAGUAGGUUAUUUUCUAGUACAAAACUCAAGGUCCCCUUAAUACCCUCUGGAUCUCUACUAAAAAAACAAAAAUGUGGUUUAUAGACACAAAGUAUUCCCAACCUAGAAUAUGUUGUGGGUGACAGUAUCAUUCUAGAUAAGGCCUCUAGUGUUUCCUUGACGAUGCCCAAGCUGUUGAUACGUCAGAGUGGGUGACAGUAGCUUUCCCUUUGCUCCAUCACUUCGCGACCCGCUGGGCAUAUUGAAGCAGCAAAAUAUGCAGGGCAAGAACAAUGGGUGUACACACUGAAAUCCAGGCAAGAGCAACAUAUAAGUAGCCAUUGUCCUGAAAUAUCAAAUACCAGCAUCUGAAAUUAAUGAAGAAUUUCGCCAACAAAUUUCAUUUGUUUUACUUUCUUGUAUUGCAAUGUACUGAACUAAACCACUUCAUACAAAAAAGUUUGACUAUUUUUAGCAGUUACCCUUUUUGAUGGUUUAGCCUUUUGUCAACAACGGGUUUAUCGAGAACCUCCUUCCCUUUGCUCAUCUCCACUACCAAGCCAUUCUUCAUAGAUGCCAACAACGAUUCUUUGUUGUGAUAUACUCCGGUGCUUGUUGAGGAACAUAGGUGACAACAUCGAUCACCAAUAGUGCCGUGAAGGUUCAUGGUAGAGUGCCACCUCCACAUAUGGCCCAAUCCCUAAAAGAAAAGUUACAUUCAGACUUCCAAAGAGAAAUUUAUGCAGCAAUGCACGAACCAAUGCUAACAUUUGCAGGCACAUUAGCAACUUCUGAAGAGUAAGCAAAUUCUGCUUGAUUUCGGCAGCAUAGGGUGUGGCGUCAUUCUCCACUGCUUGGGCACCACCCAUAUCUGAGCUUUGGGAAACUUCCUGGUGAAUGGACCGAUGAAGAUUUUGUGUUUGUAACUUGUAAGCGAAGGUCAGUAGCACAUGAGUAUGCUUAAGCUAUUUUCAGGACAUAUUCCUAAUAGACUUGUCGUCAAAAAGUAUUUCCACCAGGUGGAUUUCUUGAGAUCCAAGUUUUUACUGGAUCAAAAUGAUUUGAACAAAAAGCAUGCCAAUUAAUAUUUUUUUGUGACACCUAGCAAUUGCAAACCGAGUUAAAAUGCAAACCGUGUAUCUUUGUAAUCGAACAAUAAUCAAUGCUGCAAACCAAAGAACUACUCCUGCCCAAUGUCAUCUAAUCUAAUAUAAUAGUAUUCUGCAACCCAUUCCAUUUAGUAGAUCGGAAUUGGACAGCCAAUUCCCGUAAGACAACCUAACACAAGGAGAGCAGGGAGCCACUUUGGAGAGAACAUCAAUUCCAUAGAGCAGGAAGGGAGAAGAGAUGGCAUACCUCAUCAGGAGAAGGCGGUGCCACAGUUGCAUAGUUGAAACUUACACAUGCGCCGACGUCAGUGGCAGCGGAGGCCCUCAGCACAGGCCGUGGGGGUUUUUUUCCCUACAAAAACCAAAUAGGAAACACCAGAACUAAAAAGACAAUACACAAUGAUCAGCUCAUUUUUUUAAGGCAAGCUAAGAAAUAGCGCUUAUAUGCUGAAACAUUGGUAAGAGUCAUAGUAAUCUUAGCUUGUACAUGAAUUAAUCAGUUUGAAAGAAAAACAGUUAUGGAAUCAGGAGGUAGCCAUUAGAAGUGUGAAAACUAAAAAUAAACAUGCAUUUUUUAUUCCAAUGAACUAAGGGUAAGUAGAGAUUAUUAUAUAUAAAUCAAUGAUACACAAACUGAUCAAUCAACUAAUCAGCUCCAUAACCUAUUAGUGCUAAAGCAUUAGUCUUUACCAUUGUUUUUUAAAAGAAGGAAAGCUUCACUGCAACAUUAUUAUAUAUAAAAGUGGUGUUCGGAGGGAUGGAGCAUGACUAUUCUGAGAGAGCAUGGUACCUUCCAUGGAGCCGGACUGCAAGAGACAUUAGAUUGAGUAGGACAACCGCUGGACAUGGAAAAACGAAGGAGUAAAUAUGAAUCAUCUUGCAUCAAGAGAAUCUACAAUCAAAUAAAGGAUAAAAGAAAUCAUCCAAUUGGCCUCCAAGCUGAUGGCAUAGAAAAGUUUGAAAAUACUGCAGAAGCAAGGAAGAGGAGUCACCCAAAAAAAAGAAGAAAAUGCUAAUAUAAAGUAAGGCUCUCAUAGUAAAAUUCAGAAAAGGAUGUUCUAAUGUAAAUGAAGAUCCAAAAAGGUAAUAUUCUCAAAGUAUUAGUAUGUGAUUCACCUAUAUUUAUUUUGUCAAAAAACAUAUGCAAUAUUCUCAAAUGUGUGCCAAACAGUGUCUUGUGGUUGUUGAGGUUUUCAGAUGGAGGAAAAUUCCUAACACAUUUGAAGUGAAACUAAUAUGAGUGAGCUAUUAUCCAUUUUCAUGUGCUCUAUAUUUAAAUGAACUGAGGUUGUAUUUCAGAUAAAACUUUAGGUAGUUCAUUACUACUUGCAAGUGAUAGCAAUUCUGCUAAUUCAACAAAACUAACAUCUAUUGUGAUGCAAGUGAUAGCAAGUUAGCCAUUUUGUCAUGGUUGCUGGUCGAACUCUGAAGGAAACAUCUAAGAAUCCCUAUCUGGGUAUCUCAACACAUUAUAUUUAGUUUGCAAUUGGGAAUUGGAUCAUGUAUUCUAAAUAAAACACAUUCAGUUUGCAGUUGGGAAUCCAACAAGGAUAUAUUACCUGAAACCUGUUGCUCCCUUAGCCGAGAGAAAAGUUUAUUGAAAUUCUUCUCCUAAAAGAAGAACCAUCGAACAACCAAAUCAUAAAGCGAGAAAAUAAACUGAGAUGUCAAGAACUUGGAAGAAUAUAAUCGCUUACUGUGUGGCUGUGUGCUUGUGUCUGAUCUGCACGAGGAAUAAGCUGACACAACCAAGAACAAAUUUCAUCACAACAUGUCAUUGCAGUGGGUACUAAAUCACAAAAAUGCAAAAUAGAAAUUAGAAGAACCUUCUGCUCUUGUGCUUAGCUAUGGGUUUCAUUUACAAAUAAAUCACCUAAAAAAUUAAAUAGUCAAGGAAAAAGUGGGUUGUACUAAGUUGGUACUAAAAAUAACACUGGUCUUAUGCUUAGUUAUUGUCUAACAUUUACAAAUAAAUCACCCAAAAACUAAACAAUCAAGAAAGGAUUGUAUACUACAUUGCCGCUCCAUGUCUUUCACUUGAACCAUGAGGGCCAUGACCAUGAACCAAAACAGUGACAUGGGCAGCUAUAGAAUUUAAGAUUUCUUGGUCCUUGUUAACUGCUAACACAAUGAAUUUGAUAGACCAACAACUUAUUCAAUUAAAGAAUUUAAGACCUUAUACUUCAAACAUUAGAAAGUAGGAUAAACAUGCAACAAUUUAAUUGUAUCAUAAAUUCAAUCUCAGGAAUUAAAAAAAUUAGCUCACCUGUGUCAAACCCAAGAUCUCAACAUCUUCACCAGUUUUAACUGCUUCUAAUACGCCCAUUAACAAUAAUCCGACCUUGCACAUCAAACAGGCUACUUAAAAUCCUAUGAUAACUCACUCACAAUAAUUUUCUUUCUUUGAUACUUUAGGGAGCAAUACUGCAUUGGGAUGCCUGAUUCAAUUUAUAAUUUUCUGAGGAACAUGACAGACAUGAAAGAAAACUGUAGGCAGUUCAAAAAGAGAGAAAGAAAACUGUAGGCGUAAAAGCCACUGAAAAUACUUUACAUACUAAAAGAAAAAAUAUCCUCACACAAGUAUAGAGCAGUAAAGAAUGUUACUGAAACCACUCUCUUUGGUUCUAUGCAGUAGGAAUCUAAUAUGGAUGAGAUGAACUGAAUCAUUGCAUAGUACAUAACUGGAAACAAGAAUGUCUCACUCCAAAAUAAUUAGCAAAUAUUUUAAAAAAUGUACAGUACAUUUCUAUCAAUGAUUUUUUUUUCAACAUCAAAUUUGUUCACAUAUAAAUAGAUCCCAAUAUAAAAUGCCUAAUACAUACAACAAUGUUGAAAAAGGCUUAGCUACAAGUCGGCCGUACACCACACGAGCACGCCUGAUUGGUGCUUGACCGGCUGACCCGAGGCAGAGCGGAGGGAGGACCCAAAGAACGUGCAGGACAGAGAGGAGGAUGGAGAGGUACCUGGAGAUUUGGUUCGAGGGCUUGCAGGCCAAGAACUCCUGCAAUGAGGUUCCAUCGCUGGUGUUGAUUCUGCAGCGUCGUCAAGAACCCUAAGUGCCGCUUUCGCUUCACCGCUGACCUCGACAAGCAUAGCGAGAUGAAGGCCACCAAGCACACACCACGUGCAUCCUCUGCUGCCGCUGCUUAGUUCCACCGAGAUCCACAGCAAGAUAGGCCGUGGGAUUUGGACCUGGGCGAGGAGUGAUGGGGAUGGUGUUCCAAUAGGGACACGAGAUGCGGAGACGGCGAGCGGCGGCGUGUGCGACCAUAGGGGUGGGGACUGGGAAGGAUAGGUAGCAGCAUGCGCAGUGGUGGCCCUGCGUGAUUGGAGUGGGAUCCCGAUAGGGGAUGGAGAGUGAUCGGCGGAGAUGGGUCGCAGGAGCGGAUCUCACGGAUGAAUCGCGGGGGAGCGGACGCAGAUGGCGGUUUCCUUUUCUGCCAGGCCAGGUAUCGCACGGGGGAAACAAGGUGAAAGCGGGCUGGAGAUCGCACCGGGGAGAGCAAGGUGAUGGCAGCGUGGAUCGAGAAAUCCGCGACGGCGAGGAUUGGGGAUGGGAGCUGCUCCGAGCAGCAUCGAUCCGAGGAAGUUGAUGGCACCGCGAGGUGAUGGCGGCGUGGAUCCGAGAAAUCCGCGAGGGCGAGGAUGGGGACGGGAGCUGCUCGCACGCAGGCCCCACAUGUCGGCGCGGUGGAAAGAUCGCACGGACCGAAGCUGAGAGACUAAACGAAAAGAAAGUUGCACCACGAAAUAGUCUUACUUUUGUUCUUUUUAUUAGUUGUAGUCCUCACGAAGGAUAAGAGCAUCACGUGUAAAGCCAAAUGCUCUCACCUUUUAAUUCACGUUGCUAAAAAACAUCUUUUAUUUCUCAUUGAAUAUUCAAUUGAUUAAGUUACCGAUCAUGAUCAAAAUCAACUGAGCACUAGCAUUAGCUAUCCAUAUGCAAAUAAAUCCCAAGGUGACAAGAAAUCAGGAUGUCAAAUAAUUAGAAAAAGAGAUCUUUUACAAUGGUUGGAAUCACAUCCUAUCGCUUCUGUAAAAUAUAAAUUUUUGUUGAUUUAAUUUGUUGAAGGGCAAUAUGGUCAUUUCGUAUACCCCUCUCACUCCCCACCCCCGCCGGGCCCCCACCCCCACGCCGAGGUCGUCUGCUCCCAACUGCACGCGGUCUUUCUCUCUCGCCAUCGCCCUCGCCGCUGCCGCCCUGCUCUCUCCCUCGCUCUAGCCACCGCCGCCUCCCUCCUCUCUCCCUUACUCUAGCCACUGGCACGCCCUUUCAUGUCGUCGCCCUACACUCGGCCCAGCCACCAUCAUUGCCAUCAGGAACGAGAGUGAGGAAUCCAAGAUCUGGAAGGCGCGUAGGGGACGGCAAGCCGACAGCGUAGUUGGGGGCGACGGUGCGGCGGCACGACACAACAACGACGCGAUCUCCACCGCAUUCUCACCGGUAAGGCUAUGCCUUCUCUUGGUUCCCUGCUACGCCUCAGCUCCUGCUUCACAUUCACGGGUGAAGGCAGUUGCCGCCGUCGGCGCUGUCUAGCUCAUGGUGGAUGGCGCCGUACUGGUCAAUGUGAACGGCUACCUGAAAUCCUUGUCCUGGCUAUUGCUGAAUCGGCACCCCACACUACUAGCUCCGUCAGUGCACCGGCCGCUGGCUGCUCAUCUCAUCUCAUCCUAUUUCUCGGAUCCGUUAUUGCUCCAUGUGUUGAUGCUAUUAAAUUAUGCUCGGUAUUAUGAUAAAUUGCACAGAUUGCUUGCGAAUUGCAAAAAGGAAGUCCUGAUUGUAUAUUGUGUAGUUGUGUCAGUUAGAAACUUACAAUUUUAAUGAAGUACUGAGUUCAGAGGUGUAUACAGCUUUACAUAGCUUCAGAGUUCAGAUGCGCCUAAAUCUAUCACAUAUCCUCUUUGAGAAAAUGCAUGUUCAUGUCCAAAAAAUUGGGCUGUGUCUGGGUUUUAUGUGUCUGGGUUUUAGAGUGCAAUCUAUCCAGGUGCUUUCCUCUAACUUGAGCCGGUGAAUCAAAAUAACUGUAAAACUGUGACUAGUUAGUUGUUUGACAACCCCAAGAAUAUUUUGUUUUUAUGUACUUGAGCAGUACGUAGUAGCACAAGGUUAGAGUUCUGUAGCAGAAUUUGUCUAGUUUGGCAUGGGCUUUUGGACAUUGGUAUUUGUAAUAUAAAUCCUUAGUAUAAAUUGAUCUUGUCCAUUUACUUUUAGAAACAUGGCAUGAUCUUUUAAUUUAUGUGACAUGUCUCCUUGUUUAUUUUCACCUUUUUGUUUCCACAGAAGAAUCACACUGUUUUGUAUUACCCCUUUUAAUUUGUUUUGUGGAAUUUUAAUUUUUUUAAUGUUGUUGAUUGAGGUAGGAGGAAAUGUGAGUACAAUGAAAUUGUUAGGCAGAUGUUUGGUAAUGAAGAAGAAGCAUUUCAGUUUUAUAACAAAUAUGGUAAGGAGAAAGGAUUUAGUGUUAGGAGAAGCUACUGUGAGUGGGAUAGUGGCCAUAAUGAGAUUACCCUUCGGAAGUUUGUCUGCAGUCGUUAAGGUUUCCGGGAAGAGAAGGAGCUGAAGAGGGAGAGUAAGAAGCGGAAACCACGGAAUAUUACUCGUGUUGGAUGUCGUGCUAAACUUAUGAUUGCACGGGAUCAGAGCACAGGGCAGUGGUAUGUGAAGGAUUUCAUCGGUGAACACAACCAUCCGAUGGCGAAACCAGACGUUGCUUGUCUGCUGCGUUCACAUAGAAGAAUCAGCGAUGAUAAAAAAGUUGAGAUUUUGGUGAUGCAGAUUUCUGGGAUCCGUAAAUACCAGAUAAUGGAUAUUAUGCAAAAGCAGUAUGGUGGGUACGAUAAGGUUGGAUAUACAAUGAGGGACCUGUACAAUUUCUGCCAUCGCAAUAAGGUGGAGACAGUUGCCGCUGGUGAUGCUCAAACAGUCAUCAGUUACUUCACGGAAUGCAAAUAUAGGGAUCCUGAUUUCUUUUUCCAAUACAAGACUGAUGGGGAAUGGCACCUGAAGGGACUACUCUGGUGUGACUGUCAAUGUCGGUUUGAUUAUGCAGCAUUUGGUGAUGUCGUCGUAUUUGAUAGCACGUACAAAACUAAUCGAUACAACCUGCCCCUUGUUCCAUUUGUUGGGGUGAAUCACCAUGGCAGCACCGUUCUCUUUGCAUGUGGAAUUAUUGCACAGGAGACUAUUGAGUCCUAUGUGUGGAUGCUAAGGACAUUCUGUGAUGCCAUGGCUUAGAAGCAUCCGGUUUCUGUGAUCACUGAUGGAGAUCUUGCUAUGCAGAGAGCAAUCAGGCUGGUGUGGCCGAAUUCAGCGCUAGGCUAUGCAUAUGGCAUGUUGAGCAGAACAUUGUGCGUAAUCUGCACGAAGAUGGUGUCAAGGAUGAUUUCAGACAUUUUCUUUAUGACUGUUGGUCCAUAGAAGAGGUUGAGAGGAAAUGGCUAGAAUUCUUGGAUAAACAUAAUGUUACAGAUAAAGAGUCGUGGUUGUAUCAGAUGUAUGAGAGGAGGGAAAUCUGGUGUGCUGCGUAUCAUGCUGGUAAGUGCUAUUUAGGACUGAGGAGCAACCAACGGAGUGAGAGCCUAAACUCUAGGCUUCAGGUACAUCUAGAUCGUAAAAUGACACUGUUUGAGCUGGUACAACACUUUGACCACUGCCUUUCAUGACUGCGUAGUAAUGAAGCGCAUCUGGAUUUUGAAGCAGAGAAUUCUGAGACAUGCUUACAACCAGAUGCUUCAAUUAUUGAGAACUGCGAAAUCGUUCACACCAGGAGUUUUUUCUAAGGUGUAGUUCAGCAUAAGAGCAGCCAGCAAGUGUUUUAUGAUUGAGCACCUAGAUGGCUAUGUUAUGCAGACGUAUAUUGUUGGAAAGGUUGAUAAAGGAGACAGACAAUACUUUGUGAAAUGCGAGAUAUGUGUAGAUGAAGGCAAUGUGAAGGGAAUAUCUUGUUCUUGUCUUAAGUUACAUUCCCUUGGAACCCCCUGCUCACACAUCUUCUUUGUAUUGGGCUAUCGCGAAGAUCGCGAGCUUCCAGGAUGUUGUGUUUUGAAAAGGUAGACAAGGGGCGCCAAGACUGCAUUCCCUCCUAUAAGGAAGAGCACCAUGUAUGACUACUCUGAUAGCCUGUAGGAUCCUAGCGGGCGGAUCCAGCGAUGGGCAAUGUAUUGUAUAUCUAUUUUUAGUGCUGUUAAAGUUCAAAGCAAAUCAAAACUUUGUAGCCUCGGUGUAAAAAGAAAGAAAAAAACCUUCCUACAGCACUUAAACUAUAGUUCCAGCUAGUUUACGCAGCAAUCAUAUGAACAAAGGGAUUCAUUCGGUUGUAGUUCAGAGAGGAAUUCAGAGAAAAUAAAAGCAAACCCCAUUCAGUUACGAACUACAUUCCUAGCUAACUCAAAUAGGCAUUAAUUCAAUAUUUGACAUGCAAGCCGAUCACACCAAGGUCACACAAAAGCAUGGGAUGGGUAGGGGAUAAACUUACAUAGUGUAGAUCAAUAGCACUAGGCAGUGCGUGGCGGCGUGCUCUCCACAAGGCAGACGGCGAACUAGGAGACGAGGUCUCGGUACACGACGAACCAUCAGCCACAGACGGCGCACUUGGAGACGACCUCACAGUAGAUGGCGAAAUGGAAGUAGACGCGCCCCACGGAUGGGUUCGACGUGUUAGCCGGAACCCGCGCCCUCCUUGACAGAUCUAGUCGAGGACGCUAGAUCCCGCGGCGUCCUACACAGAAAUGGCCACUGCCACUGGAUCUCACGCCCUCGCUGCUCCGCGAGGUCGAGUGGUAGGGAGCCGCUGCUCCCGUGGCUGUACAGGACGGCGGCUGUAUGGAGGAGAUACCAUAGGAGGGCGGCGGCUGCAAACGAGAGAGAGGAGAGACGGGGGAGAAAUGAGACGAAAGAGUUAGGGUUCUUCGAUUUUUAUUUCAAGCCAAGUGUAUUUCAACCAUCCGUUUUGAUCUAACGGCAAAGAGCCAUGUGGAGCCUGUUUUGCUGGGACAAACAAGCGGGCCGCGGCUGGACCAAGACCCAUUGUGUGGUCCUGACCAAGCCAAGGCACAGCAGUCCACGCCAAAUGUUUAGUCCCACCUCGCUUGCAAUCUAAUGAAGAACUCAGCUUAAAAGCACAGGACCCCGGCAACUUCCGAACUCUUGUAUAUUACAGACAGGUCGGAUCAGAAAAACGAAUCACGUGGGCCGAUUGGGAUGGUUGGCCUGGUUGGGCUCCCUUUAUGGUAGAGCCUGACCUAGCCUGUGCCACCUCCUUUGCCCACGGGUUCCAUGUUUUUUAUUUGGGCCAUAAAUAAUUUUUUGUCAAUCUAUUUAUUUGAAAUUUGAAAUUUUUGGUAUAAUUUAUUUUUCCCCAAACCAUCUAUUUUAAAAUUGAAUUAUUUACAAUAAUUUAUUUUUUGCCAAACCAUUUAUUUUGAACUUGAAUUAUUUUUAGUAAUUUGAUUUUAUCAAACCAUUUAUUGCAAAAUUGAUUUCUUGUUAAAACUACUGGUAGAGACUAGAGAGGCUAUGAGCUUUUAUAUCCAAACCUUGUAAUGUAUUUAUUUUUCAUCGUCGCUAAUCUUGGAGAGGUCCGGAUUGGGACGACACAUGAUAGCGGCGACAUGUUAGGGCUAAGAGUACUAGUCCACUCACAUGAGACAUGAGAGUGAUCAAUUCACUGUCUUAUUGUGUUAUUAGCCUAUUAUUCAACUCGGACGACACGUCAAAGUGGUUCACUCUGGUGGCACAUGAGAGUGAUCGAUUCACUUUCUUGCAAGUUAGGUUUUUGACACUACAGAGACAAAUGUAAGAGUAUCCAUUGAGUAUGUAUCGUGUUAGGACAAUAAGUCAAGACGUGGGAUCGAACCACUAAAUGAUCACAAAUUGGAAGUAUAAGUUAAUAUAAUUAAUUUUAAAACGAGUGUGAAUUGCCUUUUUUUAAAAAAUAAUAUACUACAUGCAUAAAUGGGUAAUUUAUUUUUUUAUUCAUAAAUAAUGGCAAAUAAAAAUAAACUUAAGGCGUGCAGCAUGUCUGAUGCCCUUACAUGGGCUGGGCCGCUGGGGUGCUCUUGAAAACUGCCGGCUAACCAAUACCGAGCGUGAUUUAAACAAAAAACAAUGCCGAGCGUGAUUAUAAGAACGACCGUGAUUAUACCGUGCUCUGAUUUUUCUUAAAAACGGAAAUAACCUCCUCUUCCUCCUAAAUUAUAGGAUCGUAUCUCUCUUUCCUGAUUUCUUCUAUCUCUACUUGCUUUAUCUCUUGGAUAGGAUCUCUACUUGUUUAGGCCCUGUUUAGUUCCCCACCCAAAAAUUUUUCAUCCAUCCCAUCGAAUCUUUGGACACAUACAUGAAACAUUAAAUAUAGAUAAAAAAAAUAAACUAAUUACACAGUUUAGUUGAGAAUCACGAGACGAAUCUUUUAAGCCUAGUUACUCCAUGAUUAGCCUUAAGUGCUACAGUAACCCACAUAUGCUAAUGAUAGAUUAAUUAUACUUAAUAAAUUUGUCUUGAAGUUUCCUGACAAGCUAUGUAAUUUGUUUUUUUAUUAGUUUCUAAAAAUCUCUCCCGACAUCCUUCCGACAUAUCCGAUGUGACACCUAAAAAAUUUUCGUUCCCAAUCUAAACAGACCCUUAAUACGUAGAAUUCUCUCUUCCUUUCUAUCCUCCUCCUCGUCAACUCCCCUGCUCGUCCUCCGUCCGAGAAGAGUCGCCGGGAUUCAACGCUCGGUGUGAGAUGACCAAAACAUGAAAGGCCGCCGGGAAUCCACGCUCGGCCACUAAGAACAAGGAGGAUGCGGCAUCAUCCUUGAAGGCGAUGAAUAAUGAUCCAUUUAAGAAUACAAAUUCCCGCGUCAACAAGCGAUAUGACCUGAGGAGCAACUACGAUAGGAACUGCCAUGAUUGUAAGAUCACUCGAGGUUUGCCCUGCUGUGCGUGCACAUCUGAUUCCAGCUCAGACGCCUCGUCACCCGAAGAUGUACGUGCUAUUUUAUUGCUACAUGUUGUUAGAUCUGGCCGCAUAAAUUAUCAUGUUUUUUAUACAAAUUAACCUGUUAGUAAGUAAGCAUAUCAUUUCUUAUUGUGAAACUUUACCUUGUUUGUUCAGGGACCUCUAGUUUGAUAGAAGUGUAUAUAAUUUUGAGAUCUGAAAUUAAAGUAACAAUAAUAAAUGUAGAUUUUACUUAAAGUUAAUGCUAGUCCCAUUUAUAUUCUAAUGGCAAAUAUGAACUUUAUCUAAGCAGUAGGCAAUCAUUCAUGAAUUUUAUCUAAUUAAUUAACUUUAUCUUCCACAGCUCGGGUAUUGCCCAAUCAUGCAGGACCUUCUUAUCAAGACGCUCCAAGAGAACUCAGCCACCAUGGUUAAACAAAUCAAUUACCUUGAAAACAAGGUUCUCACCAUGGAAGCGAAGAUCGAGAAGCUUGAAAAGGGGAUGCCAAGCCAAACAAGCAUCACAAAAGGUGAUGUUUUAUGGAACAACUCUUUCAAAAAUAAAGUUUUAGAGAGCAACAUUACUUUGUGUAUCUCUGAAUUUUUAGAUUUCUUGUGGCACUUAAACAUACUAUGAAUAACGAGACUGCAAAACGUGCUUAUUGUUCCAAAGUAUCGAAUAACUUAUGAAUACCAUGUUCUGCUACGACAGCUAAUAUGCUUCGUGUUCAUUUGUCAAAAUAUGAUUGUUUCGAUGAUAUACUCUACGAACGUCGUUUUGAACAAAAAUGAUGAUGUAUGGUUGCCACAUUCAUCUAUUCUGUUGUUGAUAAUUGUGCAACUCAAUUGUGAAAUUCCAUUGCAGCAAAAAAAAAAAGAGAUCAAGUUAACUUAUGUGAACCAUAUUUGGCAAAAUCUGAAUGGUGAUAUUCAUUGAUGCCACAUAAAUGUAUCUCAGAACAGUCACGACACCGGGCCAGCUAACUUAUCAUAGGUUCACAUGGUCAUAUUCCAGUGCCAUACACAAUCUCCAAAACAUGAGUGGAAGCAAAAGUUAUACGACGCUGCUCAACGCUCACUGCUUUGAACCAACAAAUAUACAACCUACAGGGUGUGGCCUCUCUAAAUCCAGUUCUAGCGCACUUAUGCAGUGCAAUAUCCAGCCAAUGGGGAUGCUGCCGCUGCUCCAAGUGAGCGUCGUGGUGAAGGUUGAACUCAUUAGCGAAUUUGGGGCGGCAUCUGAAUGGUGAACCAUAUUUGGCAUCUUCUAGCUAUUUCAGCUCUUCCAACACCUGCGACAUAGACACAACGACGUAGAAAAUCAAAUAAUUAGUCUUUAGCUAACGUAGAGCUAGGACCCAUUAUUGACAUAUCACAUUAAAAGGUACCAUCCAUCAGGCAAUCAAGCCCUUUCACCAUCUAAACAGAAGCCCAUGCGGUCGAGCAGGGCGUCGACGUCAAUGGCGGCGGCCCUGAGCUCCUGGAGCCAGACCCUAACGGCUUGGGCGCGGAAGUAUGCCCCACAAACUGACGAUAGCCCAAGUUCAUUGAGAAGGUCAGAAGAGCUUUACUAGUCAGAACUCAGAAGAGCUUUGUCAUCAGGGAUCACGUUACAAACACAUUCAUCAUGUGUACAAAUUAUUACAACGUGAAGACUACUUUUGAAUCAUAGGGCCAUACUCACAACAGGCCACUAAUUUUAUCAUGCUAAAUUAUUUCAAAGAUUCUGAAUGACACAAUACAUGCUAUUCUUUUCAGUAAACCUCACGACAACAUGCUAUUCUUUCCAUUAUAAAUCUAUUAUUUCACCGGAAAACCAAAUUCUACCAUAUGAUAUUCCACCACAAAAUCAGUCCUUUCUAUAAGUGGAAUACAAAGCUGUAAAGUGAUAUUUCACUAACUAGCAACUAGGAUCAGUCUCUAACUGAGAUAAGUGCUGACUUCACACAAACAAGAGUUGAAUCAAAAGACAAUAGGCAAUUUCUGUCAAUUUAGACAUAUGAGAGCACUCCAAAGUUUUCACAAAAAAUUAUCCAAGUACUGAGAUGGAAUUGCUCACAUGAGUAUGUCAUGCACAUUGUCAAAAUCAUCCCCACAACCUGAUUAGAAAUGUAGCCUUUGCCAAUGAGCAGUGUCGAAUCCACCUUUAUUAGCCAGAGCCAGAUCACUGAAUCGGUUAGACCAUUCGAGAUCGAUUAGGAAAUAAUUAACAGAAAAUUAAUACAAGGAUCGAACUCUAAAAAAAAUUAAUACAAGGAUUACUACAAAUUAGGGUUCAAAUCUGCUUGCUCACCUAAUACAGAGAUAAUUUCCCCUGCAAUGUACAACAACACGUAAAAUCUCUAAUAGUCCGUGAAUUUGUUGGAUGAUAUCCACUGUAACUGAGGAUCAACAUCACAAUUCACCACACAAUUGCAAUGUCAUGAACUAGUUAUGCAUGAAUUUCACAUCAACAGGUUAAGUCUAUCAGUACACGAUGCUCUACCUUUUCUGCGUGGGGAUUUGAUAUUGAACCCCUUGUGCUGCUUUGUCUGCUGCAUCACACCUAUCUGGUAACCAAAUCCAGAUCUUGUACCUCAGGAUCUUUGUAAACCGACUGUGCCAGUGCUGUCUUCCCAAUGCCUGUCGUUCCCCAGAUGGAAAUCACCUCCAUUUCUAUACUAUCAGAAACCAGAGCACGGACAAUCUUCUCCAUCUCUUCGUUGUGGCCAAUGGGCCUCUCGUCGCGAUGCCCGGCGGAUUUAAGGAACCAUGGGUGCUGCAUUGGUUGAACCGUCGUCCUCCUCCCGUCCCCGACCUGCAACCUGUACAGCUCCCAUUGCUGCCGCGGACUGAGCUCAACGCUGGGCCAGAGCCGCUUCCGCUUCCGCGACUGCUCAGCGGCUGCUAGCCUGGACACAGCCGUGACGGUGCCUAGGCGGUCGAGCAGGGCGUCGAUGUUGAAGGCGGUGGCCCUAAGCUCCUGGAGCCAGAGCCUGACGUCUUGGGAGCGAGGGAGACCGCCACCGCCGUCGGCUUCUUCAUGUACAUCGCGUCUUCGGAUCCAACUCCCCCUCCUUGCCCGCAGCUCACCGGCCUUGCCAAUGACGUCCUGGAUGUCCUCGCGCGACGGGAGCGCCGGCGGGACCUAGGCAGUGGCAGAGGAGGAUGCGGCAGCUGAUGAACCCUAGAACGCGGCGGUCUGGAUGUCAUCAGGAGCAGAGGAUUUGGUGGCUUGAUGAACCCUAGAAAUAAAAUGUUAAUCUAUUUAGAAUCUCAUCAAACUAUAUUACUUCAAUUAUACAUACUCAACUAUACUACACAUUUUACAAUUAUGCAUUUACCUUUUUACCCUUUAUUAAAAUAAAAAAAAACUACAAAAAAGGAAUUACCACUCCUCUAAUUAGAUCCCUAACCCUCUCAAUUUCGGAAGCGAUGGGAGGCGAUGGGACGCUUAUGGCCCACCGACCAUAGACACAUCAAUCGCCUCUCAUCGCCUUACUCUCAUCGCUUCGCAUCGCUUUUCAUGCUCUGGGUCCACCGGUCAUAGACACACCAAUUGCUUCUCAUCGCCUCUCCAACCAUUGUAAAAAUAUUCAAAAUUCUAUGGGUAUCAAGGUAGACACAUGCAAAUGAAUUUAAGUGAUUAAAUGUGAAUAAGACAACAAGGAUGAUCCCAUGCUAUAUUUAUUUGAGGGAGACCAUCUGGCGCACUUUUAAUUUAAAUGUAUAUCCUUCUUCUCGACCUUCAAAGAUUUGCUUCUGGGUUCACCACGUAUAACUCACUGAAUAGACAAGAUCAUAACACACCACACAAGCAUCCACACAAAUCACACAUGAAGCAAACAAUAGAACUAAAUAAGAAUAAUACAACAUUAAAUAAAAAGAUUUGAAAAUUAAUCUAUACAUUGCUAUGAGCAUGCAGACUUGAAAAGUACGCUAAUCGAAGCUACAAUGUAAAAGAAAUAACUCACAAAUGUUUACUUUAUUAAGGAAAAAUAAAACUAUGAGAUUUAUUUAUUUUAAUUAUAUAAAACAAGUAUAAGAUAUUUCUGAAAUAUCUAGAUUGAAUACAAUCAAAUUAUAUUUGGGAAAAUUAAAAUAAAAUUAAUCAUUUUUAUUUAUAAAUCUAGUUACAUAAUCAUUAUUCAAGUUAGAAUUUAAAAUAUGAAAUUAUAGAUCAAGUUACAUGGUAAACACUUACUAAUGUGUAGAUUACGCCUUUAUGAAUCUAACGCAACUUGAGCGGAUCAAAAUAGAGCUAAAACAAAUAUUUUUUGCUAAAAC
This 63549-nucleotide long non-coding RNA is filed under the name Sorghum bicolor (sorghum). Its description in RNAcentral is "long non-coding RNA (SBIC_LNC007240)". The record is from RNAcentral. Lineage: Eukaryota; Viridiplantae; Streptophyta; Magnoliopsida; Poales; Poaceae.